CAUCCAAAUAAAGAACACAUUAUGCAAAUGCCACAUCAUUCCUUUUUUUAUUCACUUAUUUCUCCACAUUAUCAGACAGCCCUUACAAUGAAUUUCUAGGUACUGCCCGGAGGUGGGGGUGUAGGUAGCGUUAUAACAGGAACUGUGUAACCUGCACAGGAGAUUUUCAAUUUUCGCAUCAUAAGGAUAAUCAUGAGCAAUUAUAUGAGAAAUAAUGGCAAGUAGAAAACAGGCACACAUAUGUAUAUGUAUAGAAAUAUGACGGUUACCGACCUGCACAGUGAGUGUGUGCACGCAGCCCAUUGCCGCACACAUGUGUAGCCAUGGCAAACUUGGCUAGGCUGAUCCUAGCCAGUUCGGGAGCUGUGAAUUUAUCACAGACGCAGUGGAUGUCUGUUGCUGCCCUUAUCACCUGGCAACAUACGCUCCCAUGUAGAAGGGGGUGCUCGCCAACAUUCUUCCCAAUGUUCCUCCAGCAUUCCCUCAUCACCUUACUUUUAUCCGCGGCGCAGUGAUCUGCUUGUGCACGGUGUGGAUAUGAAGAGAAGGCCACAAAGACUAGGAAGCAUAAAACUCCUAUUGCCUUAGCACUGGUCAUCUUCUUAUGUGAAAUGGUAUUAUCGGUAUGUGUUUUAUGCAAUAAUUCAGCAACACUUGGGUUCUAUAUAUAUUGGUUGUAAACUCGUUCGCUCUUUGGUCAUUUAAUUAACUGAAUCCUCAAGAUAACUUGGAUAUGAUGUUAUUUAAUGUAGGCACAUCUAGUUCUUGUAUCAAACUGCAGAUAGAGUAUACGUAGAUGGGUGCAAGCUAUUAAAUGCUAGUGACUGAUUUCUGAUAGAUAGAUAACAAGGAUAUGUUCUCCUUUAAUGUAGGAUAUACUUAAUUCUCAUAAAGCAUGAAUAUCAAAUUGCUUGUGCAGGAUAUACGAAGGUGCAUGGCUGCAAAUUGAUUUUCUAAGUAUCCAUUGGGAUUUUAAUUUCCAGUUACUACCAAGAAAGAAUACCUUUUCAUACUCACUCUAACCAAGGAUAUACUCAGGCCAUUAAAAAUGCAUGACUUUUUUUUGUUGAAAAUGCAUGACAUUAUAGAUAUGAGUCCAAUCUGCAAAUGCAACAUUAUUUCAUAUGAAUAUGUUAAAUAAAAUAUGAAAUUAUUUAUGACAAAUCUUGUAAUAUGAUUUUCAAAGUGGAUACUCUUUUAAUUAGAUGAUUCAUAGAUGUAUAUGAUACAUAUAGCGGGGUGCUGUCUUUGUCCAACCAGUUUUGAUACUUCCGAAGUAGGAUUAAGAGCGAAAUAUGCAAGCCAUGUAUUAAUUAAUUACAGGUAGACCGGUAGACUAAAUAGGAUGUUCUGAGUUAUUGCUGGUAAAAAUCUGCUGAAAACUAUAUUAAUACAUCGGCUCUUUAACGAAAAGUGUGUAAUAGUCGCAUAUGAUGGAAAAUAUUGGAUAGAGUUGGAUUAACAUAUAUACCCGACAUAGCACCUCUGGGUUAUCCCUUCUACACAUGCGAGUACGGACACGUAAGAGGUAGUGCUGUGAUAAGCGUAUCCUCUUAAUAUUCAAUUCAGGAGAACGUUAUAGGGAAACCGUUGAGAAGCUUGGCUUCAUCUUGUGAGAAGAUUGAUGGAUGUUCACCUAUCUCAACAACCCGACCAGUUGCGCUGGAAACUAACUAAGAAUGAAGAGUUUUCGGUUAAAUCCAUGUAUUUGGAUGUUAUCAACGCUAGCACUAUUCCUCGUUCGAAACAUGUUUGGAAAGUCAAAGUGCCUUUAAAAAAUCAAAGUGUUUUUGUGGUUUGUCCAUAAACAAGUUAUUCUAACUAAGGACAAUUUGGUAAAACGCAAAUGGACAUGAUCUACAAAAUGUAGCUUCUGUGAUAGUGAUGAAUCCAUCAAACACCUCUUUCUUGACUGUCCAUUGGCAAAAAAUUCGUGGCGGUCGGUUCGCAUAGCAUUUAAUAUUACUCCUCUGAAUACUAUCAACACAUUAUUUGGGACGUGGCUAGAUGGGAUAGAUCCAGAAAUAGCGAGACAUAUCCGUGUAGGAGUAUGCGCUUUAUUAUGGGCAGUUUGGAACUGCAGAAACGAUUUGGUUUUUAACAAAACAACAAAUAUUCGUUUCUUGCAGGUUAUUUUCUGGGCCACUACACUGAUUCGUAUGUGGUCGCUACUCACUCCGACGGAGGUCAGGGAUCGUUUGAUUACUGGAUCUAUCCGAUGGGAGACGGUAGCACGGGCUAUAUUCAACCGGUUUUGAUGGUGGUCAUGUAAUAGGAUAGGUAUUUAGUUUCCUAUCUUAAUUUUUGCCUGCUGGUUGUGACUAUCCUGUUUUUUUCAUGCUCUUUGUGAGCCUUUUUUCCGUUUUUGAGACCUGAAGACUUUUGUUGGACCUUUUGUUUAUCAAUAAUAUGGUCGUAUGCAUCGUUCUGAUGCAGAGGCCGGGGGCUAACCCCUUUUUGAAAAAAAAUCAUUUGGAUGGUGACAUCAUUAAAACAUUUUCUUGGGCCAAAUAUUACAUUCCAUACUUCAUUUGUUUUGCUUGAAAUGACAAAAUGAAACGGCGAGCCCCGUUUGUCACUGGUAUCACCUUACGGAAGUGAAACAAACAUUUGUAGUGUUGUUAAAUAUGGGAAACUAAACUAAAUAUAAACAUGGUGAUUUAUACAUGUAAACUCUACCAUUCCAUUAACGUACAUACGCAUCAAUCAUUGUCUGCCUUAAUAAGGAUUUAAUGCUGAGGAAAUAUCAUGGAAAUCUCCAUGAUCCCACCAAUCUUGUCUACCCAGUAUCACCGGCACACGCUCUUCCUUGUGUAACCCGGAUGGCAAUUUGACAAGCCUAGGGCAAUCGUACAUGUGGAAGGGCUGUGCAACCGCAAUACAUUAAUCAAUGCACCAGGCACGUAUAUAUGAGUUACAGAGGGGGCCACAACCUCGACUAUACAAAGGAAAUAGGAGAUGGGCCCAAUACACAAUAUAUACGUACACCAAUAUACUCAACACCCUCCCGCAGUCGAAGCGGCGCCAGUGACGUAGGAACUGGAAUGAAACUCCUCGAAGGUGGAAGUCGGCAGUCCCUUCCUCAUCACAUCGGCGAACUGUUGUGCAGUCGGAACAUGGAGGACCCAAAUACGUCCAAGAGCCACCUGCUCGCGCACAAAGUGAAUGUCCAACUCAAUGUGCUUAGUCCGGCGAUGAUGAAUGGGGUUGGCGGAGAGGGACACCGCAGAGACGUUGUUGCGGUAGACAACCGUAGCCUGAGAGACAUCGUGAUGCAACUCAUGAAGUAACUAUCGUAGCCAGGUGCACUCGGCAAUGAUACGUCCAUUUUGCAUCAUACUUUUAUAUCAAUAUUUAUUGCAUUAUGGGCUGUUAUUACACGUUAUGUCACAAUAGUUAUGGCUAUUCUCUCUUAUUUUACAAGGUUUAUCAUGAAGAGGGAGAAUGCCGGCAGCUGGAAUUCUGGCUGGAAAAGGAGCAAAUAUUGGAAACCUAUUAUGCACAGCUCCAAAAAUCCUGAAACUCCCUGGAAGUCAUUUUUGGAAUUAAUAAGAAUUGUUGAGCGAAGAAAAUACCAGAGGGGCCCACACCUUGGCCAGGAGGUGGGGGGCGCGUCCCCCCCUACUGGGCGCGCCCCGUGUCUCCUGGGCCCCCUGGUGGCCCUCCGAUGCCCAUCUUCUGCUAUAUGAAGGGUUUUACCCUGGAAAAAAAAAUCAGAAGCAAGCUUACGGGACGAAACUCCGCCGCCAUGAGGCGGAACCUUGGCGGAACCAAUCUAGGGCUCCGGCGGAGCUGUUCUGCCGGGGAAACUUCCCUCAGGGAGGGGGAAAUCAUCACCAUCGUCAUCGCCAACGAUCCUCUCAUCUGGAGGGGGUCAAUCUCCAUCAACAUCUUCACCAACACCAUCUCCUCUCAAAACCCUAGUUCAUCUCCUGUAUCCAAUCUUGUAUCAAAACCACAAAUUGGUACAUGUGGGUUGCUAGUAGUGUUGAUUACUCCUUGUAGUUGAUGCUAAUUGGUUUACUUGGUGGAAGAUCAUAUGUUCAGAUCCUUAAUGCAUAUUAAUACUCCUCUGAUCAUGAACAUGAAUAUUCUUUGUGAGUAGUUACGUUUGUUCUUGAGGACAUGGGUGAAGUCUUGCUAUUAGUAGUCAUGUGAAUUUGGUAUUCGUUCGAUAUUUUGAUGAGAUGUAUGUUGUUUAUCCUCUAUUGGUGUUAUGUGAACGUCGACUACAUGACACUUCACCAUUAUUUGGGCCUAGAGUAAGGCAUUGGAAAGUAAUAAGUAGAUGAUGGGUCGCUAGAGUGACAUAAGCUUAAACCCUAGUUUAUGCGUUGCUUCGUAAGGGGCUGAUUUGGAUCCACUAGUUUCAUGCUAUGGUUAGGUUUACCUUAAUACUUCUUUCGUAGUUGCGGAUGCUUGCAAUAGGGGUUAAUCAUAAGUGGGAUGUUUGUCCAAGAAAUGGCAGUACCCAAGCACCGGUCCACCCACAUAUCAAAUUAUCAAAGUACCGAACGCGAAUCAUAUGAGCGUGAUGAAAACUAGCUUGACGAUAAUUCCCAUGUGUCCUCGGGAGCGCUUUUCUCAUUAUAAGGAAUUUUCCAGGCUUGUUCUUUGCUACAAAAAGGAUUGGUCCACCUUGAUGCACUUUAUUUACUUUCAUUGCUUGUUACCCGUUACAAAUUAUCUUAUCACAAAACUAGAUGUUACCUACAAUUUCAGUGCUUGCAGAGAAUACCUUACUGAAAACAUCUUAUCAUUUCCUUCUGCUCCUCGUUGGGUUCGACACUAUGAUAGAUCCCCUAUACUUGUGGGUCAUCAAGAAUCUUUUCUGGCGCCGUUGCCGGGGAAUGAAGCGCCUUUGGUGAGUGGAACUUGGUAAGGAAACAUUUAUAUAGUGUGCUAAAAUUUUCUGUCACUUGUUACUAUGGAAACUAAUCCUUUGAGGGGCUUGUUCGGGGUAUCUUCACCCCGACCAGAAGAGGAAAGAGUUGCUCCUCAACCUACUGAACCUACUGAAAAUGUUUACUUUGAGAUUCCUUCGGGUAUGAUAGAGAAACUGCUAGCUAAUCCCUUUGCAGGAGAUGGAACAUUGCAUCCCGAUUUACACCUUAUCUUUGUGGAUGAAGUUUGUGGAUUAUUUAAGCUUGCAGGUAUUCCCGAUGAUGUUGUCAAAAGUAAGGUCUUCCCUUUAUCUUUAAAGGGAGAUGCAUUGACAUGGUAUAGGCUAUGUGAUGAUACGGGAUCUUGGAACUAUAAACGAUUGAAGUUGGAAUUUCACCAGAAGUUCUAUCCUAUGCAUCUUGUUCAUCGUGAUCGUAAUUACAUAUAUAAUUUCUGGCCUCGCGAAGGAGAAAGCAUCGCUCAAGCUUGGGGGAGGCUUAAGUUUAUAUUCAUGCCCCAAUCAUGAGCUCUCAAGAGAAAUGAUUAUUUAAAAAUUUUAUGCUCGGCUUUCGCUCAAUGAUCACACCAUGCUUGAUACUUCCUGUGCUGGUUUCUUAUAUGCUGAAGGCUACUGAAUUCAAGUGGGAUUUAUUGAAAAGAAUUAAACGCAACUCUGAAGAUUGGGGUUCCGACGAUUGUAAGGAGUCAGGUAUAACACCUAAGUUGGAUUGUGUUAAAUCUUUUAUGGACACUGAUGCUUUUCAUGGAUUUAGCGCUAAAUAUGGACUUGACUCUGAGAUAUUAGCUUCUUUCUGUGAAUCUUUUGCUACUCACGUUGAUCUCCCUAAGGAGAAGUGGUUUAAAUAUAAUCCUCCCAUUAAAGUAAAAGUAGUUGCACCUAUUACUGUUGAAGAAAAGAUUAUCACUUAUAAUGAUCCUAUUGUUCCUACUACUUAUGUUGAGAAACCACCUUUUCCUGUUAGGAUAAAGGAUCAUGCUAGAGCUUCAACUGUUGUUCGUAAGAGUAAUACUAGAACAUUUACACCUCAUGAGAAAAUUAAAGUUGAACCUAGUAUUGCUAUGGUUAAAGAUCUCUUGGAUGAUAAUAUAGAUGGGCAUGUUAUUUACUUCUAUGGUGAAACUACUAAUAUUGCUAGACCAGAUGCUAAGAUACAUAGAUCUAUUGUAGGCAUGCCUGUUAUUUCUGUUAAAAUAGGAGAUCAUUGUUAUCAUGGCUUAUGUGAUAUGGGUGUUAGUGCUAGUGCAAUACCUCAUUCCUUAUAUGAAGAAAUUAUGCAUGAUAUCACACCCGCUGAAAUAGAAGGUAUCGUUGUUACUAUUAAGCUUGCCAAUAGAGAUACUAUUUCACCAGUUGGGCUUGUUAGAGAUGUUGAAGUCUUGUGUGGAAAUGUUAAAUAUCCUGCUGAUUUUCUUGUUCUUGGUUUCCCACAAGAUGACUUUUGUCCCAUUAUAUUUGGUAGACCCUUCUUGAAUACUAUUAAUGCUAAGAUUGAUUAUGAAAAAGGACGUUGUUACAAUUGGCUUGGGGAUAUGAAACAUCAGUUUAAUUUUGCUAAGUUUUGUAGACAACCCCGUGAUAAAGAAUUGGCUUGGGUUAUGCGUCUGAUCAAGCUUCACUCUGCCAUUAACUAUCAGCCCUUGCUCAUAACCACCUCAUAUUUAUAGCAGAGGUUGAUUUGUCCAUUGAAGCCAUUUCCCUAGAGUCUGCCAAGGAAGCACUAUAUCUUCAUAAUGCAGAUCGUCAGAGUUUCUCUCAGGAUGUUGAAGGUGUUCAGGUUGCUUCUCGUGUUUAUCCUCUGGCCGGCAACACUCGUCGUGCACGCACUGAAGCCACAGAAAGCACCAUUGCUCCAAGGCCUCGGAAGCACUCUUGUGUGCUCAAUGACCGAGAGUUUCUCGUGGCUUUGCAUCAAAAACAUGACAAGCAUCACUACUGGAUGAAGAGUCAAAUCCAAAGCCUCUUGGUGGAUGUCAAUCGCAUUCGCAAUCUUGCCACCAAGAACGCCUUUAUCACUCAUGAAACCUGUCGGAGGACUUGGAAGGGUUUGACACUGCUCAGUGCUAAAGCUGAUCUUCAAGACGAUGGCUUCACCGAAAGAUUCAAGUUUGACUCCACUCCUCCCAGGAAUGCUGUUUUACGAUGAACCCCGUCUCUUGAAGAUUUAGAGUACUCUUCGUCCGCAGCCACAGUAAAUGCCAGAGUUAUUGAUGAAGCCGAUGAUGCUACUUCACCACCGCCAACAUCAGCACGUGUCGACACUGCACCAAGUUCUUCUGCACCACCAGACCUCAACGACGACCCUACUGCUUCACCUACUCCUCAUGGGAACGAGUAGAGACUAUGUCUUCAAACCUUUUUGGUCCUUACUGAUAAAAGGGGGAGAAGCAUAGGUUGAUAGUCUUCAAGCGGGUCCAUAUGGGUGGUUGCUAUACUUUUGCCCAGUGUUUACAACUCUCAUUUUUGAUACAUUUGGUUCUUUUAGUUGUAACACUUAAACUUGAUGGUCGUCUGCUACUUUUUCUGCUAUUCUAUGAUGUGAUGAUAAAUCCCGCAUGAAGUCAUUUCGCAGACGUCCAUUUUUCAUUAUGCAUGUCAUUAUUCCUAUAUAUCUGAUCAUGCAUGAUGUAUUGUCUUCGUAUGGUGAAGAGGAUCUCCACAAGUACAACCUGCCAUGUGCAUUUGCAUUCCAACGCAAAACAUUUAUAUGCACAUCUUCAGGGGGAGCCUUUUGCCACUUAUGAAGACAAUAUCUUAAUCCUUUACAGUUUCACAUACUUUUAUCCCCAUUGAAAACUUCAACCAGUUUGUCAUCAAUCGCCAAAAAGGGGGAGAUUGUAAGUGCAUCUAGUGCCACCCCUAGUUGGUUUUGGAGUAUUGACGACAAACCUAGUUAAGGGACUAAUGUGUUUGUGAGAAUUGCAGGAUAACACAGGUAGUAGUCCCUCAUUGAUUCGGUUUACCUACUGGAGAUGACCCAUAAAAAUGUGUGAAGACAUUGAAAACAAUGGUGGUCUGUGAAGAUGUUCACAUUGAAGACUAUGACACGGGAAGACAUUGAGUGAAGACUAUGGAGCGCGAAGACUUAGUUGUUUCAUUGUUUCCUUUUCUUAUUUGUUGAGUCAUAGGAACCACCGCACUGAAGUGAUGCUCAACCAAACCCUAUGUCUUCGAGUGAAGACAAUGAGAGCAAAUCUUAUCCAGAGUCGGAUGAGUCAGCUUGACUUGUAGCCCAAGUCAAGCUGCCGCGUGUGUUUGAAAUCUGACCGUUGCGACACGUGUCAGUUCCUUAGUGACCCAGGGUCAUUUUGGACAAAUCAGGUCGGGUUGCCCAGUGGCUAUAAAUAGCCCACCCCCUACACAAUAAAUUGGUGGCUGCUCAGAGUUAGAUACAACUUUUGUUGUUUGAGAGCAACCCACCUCCGAAGCUUUUGAGAGAGAAUCCUUGCAAGGACAAAGUCCAAACCACCCAGAGCCCAAAGAGUGUUUGGCAUCACUGAAGUCUUUCUGUCCGCGCGAUCUGAAGACUUGUUACACUUGAGGACUGUGAAUCCUCCAGCCGGUUAGGCAUCAUGUUCUGAGCAUCCAAGAGCCAUUGUGGAUUGCCGGUGAACGAAGUCUAUGAAGGUUCGGAAGUCUACCUUGAAGACUUAGCAGAGUGAUUGGGCGGGGACUAGGUGUCCUUAGCUCAAGGGGAAUAAGGUGAAGACGCGUUCUUCUGAGUUAAAUCUCAACCUCCCUAACCAGAUGUACAGUUGUCACAGCAACCGGAACUGGUCGAACAAAUCCCUGUCCUCCUAAAGCUACUGGUUCUAUCUCUCACUUCUCUCUACUUACAGUUUGUCUUCGUGAAGUCAUUGCCUGCUUGCAUUAUCUGUUUGACUUCACUGUGUGACUACAUGAUCUGAUUGGCUUCAUACUAUCUUCCAUCCUGAUCCUUACUACCUAGAUGCUAAUAGUCUUCAUGCUUUCACUUCAUUGAAUACUUGACUAUGGCUUGUCUAGUGUAGUCUACCUUCCACUGCAUUUGAAUAGUGUUGUUUCUAUUGUUUGUCUUCAAAACUCCCAUGUUUUGAAGACUUUCAUAAAAAUCGCCUAUUCACACCCCCCUCUAGUCGAUAACUAGCCCUUUCAAUUGGUAUUAGAGCAAGGUACUCCCUUGUUCUGUGUCUUUCGGUUUAACCACCUGGAGUUUAGCUAUGUCGACUGCAGGUAUAAUCAAAGUCUCCGCUGCGUGCCCCAUCUUCGAUGGCACUGAGUAUCCCUACUGGAAGAAUAGGAUGCGCAUGCAUCUUGAAGCCAUUGAUGUCGAUCUCUGGUAUGUUAUCAAGAAUGGCGUUCCCAAGACUGGUGAAGGUGUCACCCCUGCUGAUGUCAAGAAGUUCAUUCAACUGGACUCUAAUGCCAAGAACAUCAUCUGUGGUCAUCUGACCAAAGGGCAGUAUGGCCGUGUGAGCGCUCUGGAAACGUCGAAGCUAGUCUGGGACUGGCUCUCCAAGGCCAAUGAAGGCAUCUCAACUCAGCAUGAUCAAAGAAUCAGUACUCUCUGCAACCUCUUCAACCGCUUCAAAAGACACGACAACGAGAACGUUCAGCUCACAUUUGAUCGCCUCAGUGAUAUCACAAAUGAGCUCCGUGCACUCGGUGCAACUGACAUUACGAAGCAUGAAAUAGUGAAGACACUGCUGAGAUCUCUUGACAGCUCAUUUGACACCUUAGCCCCAAUGAUACAAGAACGCCCUAAUUUCAAGACACUCGAUCUGUCUGACAUAGUUGAGAGGCUCAACACACAUGAGUACCAGCUAUGUGAGAAACGAGAUAUCUAUGGUCCCAACUAUGGCCAAACUCGCGCUUUGAAGGCAAAGGCUGCUGCUUCCUCAUCUGAAGAAGAAUCUGACUGCAGUUCUGGUGAUCCCGAAGAUAUUGGAAAGGAGCUUGCUAUGCUUGUGAAGAAGUUCCAGAAAUUCACUAGGAAGAAAAGCUUCAGAAAGUCUUCACGAUCCAGCUCAAGGGAUGAUGAAGCUCCCACCCAUGACAGCAAGAAAAGAACCUAUCAGAAGUGCAAGAAACCUGGCCACUACAUCUCUGAAUGUCCACAGUGGGACAAUGAGAAGAAGAAGAAGAAGAGCAAAGAAUAUGAUUCUGAUGACAAGAAAAAGAAGAAAUCCUCAAAGUCUUCUUCCAAAUCUUCCUCCAAGUCUUCAUCGCACAAGAAGAGUUCAUCAGGAAAGGCACGUGCUUUUGUUGGCAAGGAAAUGGUUUCAUAGGAGGAGUAUGCUUCGGAGGAGUUGGUGGAGUCUGAGGAGGAGUCCGACUCUGGUGUCGCAAGUCUGGCUAUAGCUACAGCUUACGUCGCCAAGUCCAUCUUCAACACUGAAGACAAUGGCUCCGUCACCAACGCUGAUGACGAGAAUGACUCGAAUCCCACCUACUGCUUCAUGGCACGUGGUGCCAAGGUAAACUUUUGUGAUGCUUACUUUCAAACAUCAAGUGAAGAUGACUCUGACGGUGAAUCCAAACCUAGCUAUAAAAAACUUGCUAAAAUUGCAACUGAACAAUAGAAAGCUAUGGAACAUAUUCAAAAACUGUUAGACAAAAGCGAUGACCUGUUGGACGCGGAAAUGACUAAGACUCAGUCCUUAAUUGAAGACAUAAAAAAUCUUCAUGUUAAGUAUCAGGAACUUGAAGGUCGACAUGAAUCGCUCUCAACUUCUCAUGAAAAGCUUUCCUAUGAUUAUCUUCAAAGGAAGCAGGAACUUGAGAAAUUGAGAUCGGAUCAUGAAGAUCUUCAAAAGGAGAAUGAUUCACUUCGUGCUCAACAGACCAGUCCCGCUCAGGAAGGAUUUGAACCACCAUGUUUAAAAUGCAUUGAGCGUGAUAACGCUACCUCUGUUGCUGAAUGCUCUACUGCUACUGCUAUUGCAAUAUCUUCAAAUGCUGAAGUGGUAACUAACCACUCUAUUAAGGAUACCACUACUAUUGCUAAUGAGAAUGCCAGGUUGAAGAUACUGCUUGAGACAGGGAUGUACAAAAGUCUCAAAGGGCAUCAGACAUUAUGUGAUGUCCUCAAAAAGAAGAUUCUAAACCGAAACCCUAGGAAAGAGGGUGUUGGGUUUGAGAGGAAAAUGAAUGUUGAUGGGUCGUACUGGAAGCCUAAGCAGUACCCCAAAACCACAUGGGUUGCUAUAAAGGAACCUUCAGGAGAUCCAUCCACCUUAUCUGGUUUCACUUAUGCUAACCCCAUUAUCAUUGAUGAAUCCUUUGAUGCAAACUAUAAACUGUUUAAGAAUCAGAAUGGUGAAGUGUUUGCUAGGUAUAUUGGUACUAAUUGCAGGAAUGGACCACCUAUGAAGAAGAUAUGGGUACCUAAAAUUGUUCUUGAGAAUCUUCCAGUGAAUGUCAUCAUGACACCACCUGUGAAGAAGACAAACCCCAUACCAAAGGCUUCAUAUGGUCCUAAAGCUUCAUACAUACCGUGGACUCAUUCGAGUCACCCUAACGUCAAUGUUUUGCAGGGAAAUCAUACUCAGACCCAUGAAUAUGAGCGUGUUUCAUCAAACCGCUAUGUUCAUAGAACUAAGAACUUUUUCUGCUUAUUCACAUGAGUAUUAUUCACCCCCUGCAAGGCUAUUUACUAGGGCUCCAAAGCCGAAGUUCUUAGAUGCUGCACUUAGACUCAUUGCUUCUAAGCCACCCCUGAAGAUGUGGGUGGUUAAGAAAACUUAACUCUCUUUUGCAGGGAAAGGUCUCCAGCCGGAAAUCAAAAACAUCCAAAGCUAAUGCUGGAGACCUUAAAAACCUUGUAGGGCGCAAGAUAAAAUGAUCAAGUGGUCUUACCAUGUAUUUCACUCCAGAUUUCCUUGACACUCAUCCUGUCUAUCCUAACCAAGACAUGAAUUUCCAUGUUCCACUUGUUUGUCAAAUGUUUCUGCUUCACAACUCACUUGGUGAAGCCUAUCCCCCAAACCGCAUUGUAGGCUACGACACCUCGUGCUUCAGAAUGGAUUAUGGACAAUGGAUGCACUAAUCACAUGACUGGCGAUCGAAGUCUUCUGAUGGAUUCAACGCUACGUCCAUCAGACAAGAGCCACAUCACAUUUGCUGACACUGGUAAAAGCAAGGUAUUGGGUCUAGGUAGAGUUGCAAUGUCAAGGGAUCAUCACAUGGAUAAAGUGAUGCUUGUUGAAUCCCUUGGUUUCAACUUAAUGUCUGUCUCAAUGCUUUGUGACUUAAACAUGAUUUUGCUAUUUGGAAAAUAUCACUGCCUUGUACUGAUGGAAUCUGACAAGUCUCUAGUCUUUGAAGGAUAUCGAAAAGAUGAUUUGUAUAUGGUAGAUUUCUCAGCAGGACCACAGAUGGCCGUAUGUCUUCUAGCAAAAGCUUCAGAAUGUUGGCUUUGGCAUCAAAGGCUAGGGCAUGCUGGCAUGAGGAACUUGCACAUUCUCGCAAAGAAGAAGCAUGUUGUGGGCAUCAAAGGUGUCAAGUUCAGGAAGGAUCAUCUAUGUGGCGCCUGCUAAGCUGGAAAUAUAACAAGAGCCAAGCUUCCCUCGAAGACAAUCAUGACCACGUGUCAACCCUUCGAGCUGCUGCACAUGGACUUAUCUGGCCCUACUCACUACUCCACUCUCAAUGCUACUGCUUUCCUCUACUCCACUCUCAAUGAUUACUCUCGAUACACUUGGGUGAAUAUAAUCCUCUACAAAACUAAAGUGCAGGAUGUCUUCAGACGCUUUGCUAAUCGUGCCAUGACGAACUAUGGCGUCAAGAUCAAGCACAUCAGAAGCGACAAUGGCACUGAGUUCAAGAACACUGGCCUCGACCUCUAUCUGGAUACACUUGGUAUCACUCAUGAGUUCUCGGCUCCUUAUACACCUCAGCAGAAUGGCAUCGAUGAGACUAACGGCUCACAAAGAGAGCACCUGCCAAAUGUGCUAGAUGAAUUAUCCCCUAGCGAGUCAAUCAAGCGAAUGGGAACUAGAGAAAUCAUACCCUCUAAGAAUCAGACUGAAGAAGAACUGAUCGUUUCUGCAUCCACUCAACUUGAAGACAAUGCUCAACCUAAAGAUAAUCCCCCAAAUGAUGACAUUGAUCAGAAUGAGCAAAAUCUUCAUCCUGCUCAUUCUCGUGUUGCAAAUGAAGUACAGAUUGAGAAGAUGAUCUAUAGUCUCAAUACACCUGGUCCACUCACUCGUUCAAGAGCCACACAAAGAGCAACACAACUCACCAAUUUCCGUGGACAUUUUGCAUUCGUCUCAAUCUCGGAACCGAAGAAAGUCGCUGAAGCCUUCAUGGAACCUGAAUGGAUUCAAGCAAUGCAAGAAGAGCUUCAACAGUUUGAGUUAAAUAAUAUGUGGGAAAUGGUCAAGCGUCCUGAUCCUCAGAAGGCACAAUAUCAUUGGAACCAAAUGGAUAUAUCGCAACAAGCAAGAUGAGCAUGGUCAAGUGGUCAGAAACAUAGCUCGUCUCGUUGCACAAGGUUACACUCAAGUGGAAGGAAUUGACUUCGAUGAAACAUUUGCUCCGGUGGCAAGACUUGAAGCCAUUCGCAUACUGCUAGCCUAUGCAAAUCAUCACAACAUCCUUCUGUAUCAAAUGGAUGUGAAGAGCGCCUUUCUCAAUGGAAAGAUAGAAGAUGAAGUAUAUGUCGCACAACCUCCUGGCUUUGAAGAUCCAAAACAUCCUGAUAUGGUAUACAAGCUCAACAAGGCACUGUAUGGCCUCAAAAAAGCCCCUCAUGCUUGGUAUGACACGCUCAAAGACUUCCUGAAGAGCAAAGGCUUCAAACCUGGUUCACUAGAUCCUACUCUCUUCACGAAGACAUAUGAUGGUGAACUGUUCGUAUGCCAAAUCUAUGUGGAUGACAUUAUCUUCGGCUGCACCAACAAGAAAUACAGUGAUGAGUUUGGUCACAUAAUGCAAGAGCAAUAUCAGAUGUCCAUGAUGAGUGAACUGAAGUACUUUCUGGGUCUCCAAAUUCAUCAACAACGCAAUGGUAUCUUCAUAUCUCAAGAAAAAUAUCUCAAAGAUUGCCUGAAGAAGUUUGGAAUGCAAGACUGCAAAGGAUACACGACGCCAAUGCCAACCAAAAGUCAUCUGGGUCUCGACGACAAUGGUAAAGAGUUCGAUCAAAAGGUAUACCGCUCCAUGAUUGGUUCUUUGCUUUAUUUAUGUGCAUCUAGGCCCGAUAUAAUGCUUAGUGUUUGCAUGUGUGCCCGAUUCCAAGCGGCACCAAAGGAUCGCAUCACUUAGCUGUGAAGCAAAUUCUUCGAUAUUUGGCUUACACCCCAACACUAGGAUUGUGGUAUCCAAAGGGCUCAGAAAUUUGAUCUAGUUGGAUUCUCAGAUGCUGAUUAUGCUGGUGAAAAGGUUGAUCGCAAGUCCACAUCAAGAACAUGUCACUUUCUAGGAUGAUCACUUGUCUGUUGGUCUUCAAAGAAGCAGAACUGUGUAUCUCUCUCCACUUCUGAAUCUGAAUACAUUGCUGUUGGAUCUUGCUGUGCUCAGCUUCUCUGGAUGAAGCAAACUCUCAAGGACUAUGGUAUACACCUGAAGAAUGUGCCUCUCUACUGCGACAAUGAGAGUGCCAUCAAGAUUGCCAACAACCUAGUUCAGCACUCGAAGACAAAGCACAUUGAGAUUCGUCAUCACUUUCUCAGAGAUCAUGUUAUGAAGGAAGAUAUUGAUAUCAUUCACGUCAACACUGAAGAGCAAUUGGCUGAUAUCUUCACAAAGCCCUUGGAUGAGAAAACAUUUUUCAAGUUGCGGUGUGAGCUAAAUAUCUUGGAAUCCUCAAAUGUCCUAUAAAUUGGACACACAUCCUAACAGUUAUGCAUUUUGAUGACUUAGAUGUGCAACACACAAAGUAAGGUAUAUCUUCAAUCAAUGAAGACAUACACUCUAAGUGUGAAUACAUUAAUGCGGAAUUUGACUUCGGAGUGCCAUGAUAAUUGUGCGCCGUGUCUGGGUCUAAUACUUCCUAUACGGUGGGUAACACCACCACCAAACUUUUGUUUGAAGUGUUUCUCUUGGCGUUAUGUUUGCAAAGUCUUCAUAAUUGAUUUGUCUUCAUCCCUGACUUGUAUUCAAGUUUAUCUUCAUUUGGUUGAUUUGGCCUUAAACUAGUUAUAUACUACUUGUGUUAUGUCCUCUACAGCGUUCACUUAUAGCUAUGACUUCUUGUUGAAUCUUUUGAUCUAAGUGAAUGUGAUCGGACCCUAACCUAUCUAUGCUUCUACCUCAACUCUAUCUAUCCAAAUCAUAUGCAUUCUAUUGAAAACCGUCAAUUGUCUUCACUGAACCUUGUCAGAUGAAGUCAAUCAGACAAACAUUUAUAUCUGCUUUUAAUGACAUAUCCUUUUUGCCUGAAACCCGGAGAAUUUGGAACGACCACCCUGACAAUCCAGGCGUGUGUGGGAACAUGAAACAACUUCCAAGGUGUUGCAUGCUUGCUACGUGUUCAUCAGAUGUGAACUGCCAGGGGCACCUGUGUAAUUGCGCUAUGCCAUCUCUUUCCUUAUAAAUACCCGUCACGUCUCGGUCAAAAAUUCUUCUUCCUCCUCGCCACCUCUCACAAACCCUAGCGCCUCUGCUAGGUCUCGACGAUGCCGGCGAUGAAGCGCUUAGCUGACGCAACUUCUCCGAUGCCGUCCUCACGCCGGCCGCGGACCUCGUCCUCUCCGCCUUCACCGUAGGUGUCCUCCGUCGCCAAGUUAGGGCACGGAAGAUCGAACUACUCGGCCUCCACCUUCGCUCCAUCUAGCAGUUCUUCGUGUGGUAAUUAAAUUUCACUUUUUACCGUCUUUUCGAAUGAUAGAAUCAUCCUUAUUUACCAAAAGUGGUUUCUAGAUCUCCAAGUUGAAUCUAUCUCUUUCUGCAUCUCAUACUCUGCCUAGUCUAUUCACUUAUGUUUUGUUACAAGUUAGAUUCCUCACUUGCACUUAUUCUUGGAUUUGUACAACUCUAGAACCAACUCUCAUCAAAUAAGUGAAUGUCUUCACGUUAUGAGGUCAAUGUCUUCAAACUGAUUUAUCUUCAAAAUCUUCUGAGAAUGCAUAUGACCUCUUCCCCUUACCUCGCAUCUCUAAUGCUGUCACAGGUACAUGUCCAUGGGAGAAUCCCUUGGUUCUCAUAGUCUGCAUUCGUUUGCAGAAUUCUUACAUAGUCACAUCAAUUCACCUGAAGCCAGUUCUUGUCUGACCAGCCGUCUGAAGCCCUUGCAAGUACUGAAGCCUUUCAGAUUAAGCUUCAUGUCCACUGAGAAGUCAGCAAGAAAGGGAGGCAGACAGCGCCGUGGGAACACUUCCAAGGAUUUGACUCCAGAUUUGCACGAGCUGUACAAAACAGACCCUGAGGAAACCUAUACAGGCCGCAAGAAUUGAAUCCAAUGGAUUCGAAGAUAUUGGGCAGAGGAAUGGUUCAAGUACCGCUUCGUCACAGAAGAGUAUGCAGAGAAGAAUGCCAUCAAAGGACCCUGGGGAGAUAUUGUGUACAAAAAUCUUCAACCCCAGUCCCUUCCUGAAGCCAUUCAACGAGAAUUCUAUCCUUGCAUGAUUCAUGGACCGCAACUAGAGAACGCUGACCCUCACUACAAAAAAAAUACACUUCCGUGAUGAUACGUGUUUGUCACAGUAGGUCACGUCUUUUGUCAUGCAUGUACAUCCAUGACAAAUUUAUGACAGAAUCAAGAUAGUCAUACCUGUGCUGUCGUAGAAGUGUUCCAUGACAUUACCAAAAUUAUCAUCACGGAAGUGUCCACUUCCACGACGAUAAAUCGUGCGUCACAGAACUUCUUUCGUCAAGGGUGACCGACAUGUGGCAUCCACCAUAACGGAACGCCAUUAAGCUAUCGGAUCGGGUUUUGGAUCCGAUAACCUGUUAACAACCCCAACCAAUGGGGAUUUUCCACAUGUAAAAUCUUCAUUGGUUGGAGGAAACACGUGUCGGCUCACCGUUGGGAUAGAUGUCAUCCACUCAUUGGACAGAAGGCGCCUAUGAUACGUCGACUGGCACGGCCCAAUAGAGGCCCAUUCCUGUGAAAAGGCCGGCCCGUUUGACUUGGUCAAAAGGUGGCGGGCCGGCCCACAGAAAGCCUGUUAACGGCCUGUUCGCAUAUAGCCCAUUUACAACCCGCUAACCGAGGGCCCGUCACGCCCUAUCCGAAUUAGGCCCAGUAGCGUCAUCUGGGCCGUCCAAUAUGAUUCAGCCAGUUUUAACUUCCGGCCCAUGUGUGGCCCAUGACUUCUUUCGGCCCAUAUGAGGACCUUUGUAACUCUUGGCCCAUUAACGGCCCGUGGUGAAACUGGCCCGUAAUGAAUAGUGUAUCACUUUAUACCCAUUAACGGCCCGUUAUUCCAUUGGGCCAUUUCCAGCCCAAGUUAUCUUUCGGCCUUCUCAGGUCCCAUUGAUUCUUGGGCUCAUUUACAACAUUCGGUUACAUACAACCCGUUACUGUCAUUUUCUGCUUGUGGGCCAAAUUCAGCCCGUCGUUACAGUCGGCCCGUUUGCGGACUGUUAAUACGUUGGGCCGUUUUCAUGUAAAAAAACCCGUUGGGCUGUUUUCAUAGAGUUAUCAAAUACGGCCUAUUAACGGCCCGUUAUGGUCCAUGAAUAGUACGACCCAUGAUUGGCGAAAUGAUGAUAUGCCCCACAGAAGGCCCAUGGAUCCUACGGCCCGUAUGAGGCCCAUGGAUGGUACGACCCAUAGAAGGCCCAUGGACCCUACGGCCCGUAGAAGGCCCAUUGAUCCCUAAGGCCCGUAUAGAAGGCCGAUGGAUCCUACGGCCCGUAUAGAAGGCUAAUGGUCCUACGGCCGAACGAAGGCCCAUGGAUCAUACGGCCUGCAGGAGGCCCAUGGUUACAACAGUCCGUGUGUUGCCAUGAUUAUUUUGGCCUAGUUACCAAAGAUAGGCUAUUGUGGCCACUAGAAAAACACAAAAAAGGAACUGCAGUGACUACAAGCAAACAACUAAACAAGACAAUAAGGAAAUUAAUAAGCAAGCAAUUAAGGCUAGCCUAUUACCGCUAUUACACAUAUUACAUCCACUGGGCAUCAAAGUUCGCCACCAGUGCAAAUAUAGGGAACAAAGUAGCAUAUUACAUACACUUGGCCGUCAAAAUUGGCCACCAGUGCAAAUAAACGCGGCAGCAAAACAAGAGCAUAACUGAAACAACUUUAGAAGAGCUCAAGAAACGUUAUCCUGGGUAUCCACCAUGCUGGCAAUAAGCUUAGCAAGCUGAUUAGUUUUGUCCUGUUUGGCGCUAAAAUCCUCCAACGCUUGCUGUUGCACCAGAAAGUAUGCAUCUGAAUGCUCCAGGGACUUCCACACUCCUUCCGCUUCUUGUCGCAGCACAGCUGAUCGAUGUCUUUUAGCUUGUAGUUGAGACUCAAGAAACCGAACUGAUUCAGACAGUGAGUUUGAAUAGCUUGUGCAUGCGGUAGUGGCCAGUAACUCGAACACUAAACCAAGACAGGACUUUGGGGUUGUCUCGCUGUCUUCAAGAUAGUCUUCCUUAGCUGUUUUAUCAGCUUUGUUGGAGACCAACAAGGAUGUGUCACUAUCCUGAACCUUAUCUGCAUUACUUCCUUUACCAUUGCUUUAAUAAGGCACUCUUCCCCAAUAUUCUGUCAGCAUUCUAAAAGAAGAAACAAGCAGACACAUAACAAAUUUAGCAUGUACUAGUAUAUGAAACUCAUUUCUGUGAACCAGUUCAUUAGUAAGGUGGACAGGAUUAAACUACCAAGUCUUCUAUUGCCAAGUACUAGUACAUAAUAAAAGCAUCAAACAAACAUAUAUCUAUGUCCUAUGGUCACUGCAUUUUCUUGCCAAAUCAAAACAGAGACACGGUUCAAAUCAUAUCAGUUCAAGACAAAGCAGUAGUGAAAGAAUACAAAGCGUGAGAAACUACACGGCACAACAAGAUUUCAGAUGGGUACCAUGGGUCUACAUGUACAACAACACUAUUGACUCUGUUGUGAUGCUAGUAAUGUGCAUGAUAUGAAAGUCAACUGUAUACACAAUUGAAAUUGAAAUCAACAGAGCUAUUGAUGAGAGCAAACCUAUUAAAGAAACAUGUGUGAAAAUACCUGUUGUGCCAUUGGAGUUUCGAUUGGAUCCUUCAAUUUAAAAAUAAGUUUGUAUCAGUAAAUACAGUGAUACAAGAGCAAAGCAAUCAUAGUUAAAAAAAGGCGUGCCUAAGCGAGCGCUUAAGCGCGCCUAGUCUCUAGGCGUUGGCAAAACGCAUUGCGCAUAACUACGCAUAAUCUAUGCAUAACUACGCAUAAGCAUGCGCUUUGGUCAGUAAAGCGCAAGGCGGUGGCAAAACGCACAAUUAACGCCUAGCGCUUUUUUGAACUAUGAUAGCAAUGGAAUCUUAAAUUAGAACAAUUGUUCUUCAGGUUUAGGCACUUGUUCUACAUGAAUAGAGUACAGUAAGACACAAUAAUAAAAUACUUAAAAAUAGAAAAUGAGCUCAUAGACCUUACCACAUUCUUGGUUCGGGACCAGUAUAGAACAAGGCGUUCCCAGUCAUCAUCCAGUAAAUGUGUCUCAGGAGAACGUAAGGGAAUUUGAUGAGUUACUUUGCCGAUGAAGUACGUUUUCUUCAGGUAAUUCCGAUACUGCCACCAAGCAUUCUUGAAGAUAGCAGAGGUAUUAGCACAGGUUACCUCAUCCUGAGUUUCCAAAUCGGUCCUUCUCUAUAGAGAAAAAUGGGAAAAUUUGCUGUAUUAUAAUCAUCAUGGAGGUAGGAUGUAUGGGACGAAGCAAAGUAAUUGCCAUAAAUAACAUUACUUACACAUAACUCCUAGACAAACACCUGCAACUGGCAUUUUCCUUCAUCUUCAGUAUAAUAUUUCCAAGAUGGGAAGAUACGCACAUACAAUUUAACAACAUCAAAUGCGAUAGAUUCUAAACUACGACUUGCUGGUUGUGCUUCCUCCACAGGAAUAGGCAUACUAACUGGUGGAGUUGGGGUUCACCGUGAUAGUACUGGACCUUUGGGCACUGGAGCUGCCUUACUAACUACUGUUGUUUGGGAGCUCUGUGGUGGAGAUGGUGCUGUGUCAACAGGAACUGGGUUACUAUCGGCUGGGGUUGGGGUUAGAUUGGGUGAAGCUGGUUCUCUGUCCAUCGCAGUAGGGGUACAAUCUACGAGAGUUUGGGUUAUGUGUGGUAGGGCUGGUUCUUGUGCAUGUACAACCGGGGUGCUAUCUCCACCAAGAGGUAGCACUGUUUUAUUUGAAGUCUGUGUUUUUAUUCCGCUAGAUACUGGCAUCACCCGCUCCAAUUCAAAUGGCUGAUAAACAGGAAACAUAGUUGGAUGUACAGACAUUGUAUGAGAGACAGAUGCAAUAGAUAGUGUGGAAAAAAGAGGGCAUGAAAUAGUUGACAUGUAUAUUGUUUAACUAAAACGGAUAGCAUGACAUAAUUUCACAUAUAUGAUGUCUAUCUAAACUAGAUAUCAUAGCAUAACAUAAUUCAAAGAUAUGAUGAAUAACUAAACAGGAUCGUAUGACAUAAUUCACCUACAUGUUAUCUAAGUAAUCAGGAUCACAUCAUUUAAUUCACAUAUGUGAUUUAUAUGCUAAACAGAGGGCAUUCGAUAUGAUGUCCAAACUAAGAACAUGGUGUUGAAUAUUGUGUAUAUGAUGUCUAAACUAUGCAAUGCAAGACACUGUAUGCAUGAUAUGAGCAGUAUAACCAUGCUAAGUUAGAGCAUACACCUCAGUGGGGGAAUAGGACUGGUCAUCUGUCUCUGAAUCCAUCUCCGAGGAGCUAUCGGGACCCAACAAGAGAUCUGCUUCGAUAGGUAGCACUGUCUUCUCUGAAGGCCUUGUUUUCACUCCAGAUUUUUCCAUCUCCCACCCAAAUGGAUGAUUCACAGGAAGAGUAGUUUAAUGUACAAACAUUGUCGACAAAUGGAAAUGUAAUGAAGAAAAGGAUGGGCAAGAUAUCAUUCAAAUAUAUGAUGCCUGGUUAAACAGGAUGUCAUUGCACAUUUCACAUAUAUUAUGGCUGGCUAAAAGACAUGAGACUGCAUAAUUCCCAUAUAUGAUAUAGAAACUAAACAGGUGGCAUUAUAGAACAUGUCUAAACUAAGCAGAUGACAUAUAUGAUGUCAAAAGUAGGCACUGCAAGGCAAGAUAUGCAUGAUAUGACUAACAUCAUCAUGCCAAGGUAGAGCAAACACCUUGGGGGGUAAAUAGGAGUGGUCAGCGGCGUCUGAAUACGCCUCAGAACAGAUAUCUUCCUCUGGGUUACAAUCUGGAGAGGGGUGGGGAGGGUUUGCCAUUGAACUCACCAUGGAGCGAUGUCUGCAUGAAAUUGUAUUGUCGCGCAAUACUCUUCUCUUUUUCUCUACAUGUUCAGCAUGACUGUGUACAAUAUCUGACAUGCAUACGAAAAAAAUAUGGUGAGAUUAUGUAAGGAGAGCAUGCAGAAAUUUAGAGUGAUGGUAACAACCAGUGGAUCGACGUUUUUCCAUUGAACCAAAAUAGCCCUAAUGGGUCAACGUGAAUGUAUAGUAAUAACUGAUGCAACAAGUGUACAACCUCUUUGCCGUAGCCGUGUCGACCUCAGCAUCAUUGGGUUGGUCACUGAAGCAGUUGAGGCAGAGGUGGCUGUCGGAGGUGUGGAGGAAGAUCUAAGGAAUCUGUAGACGGCGUCCAGGGCACUGCUCUGUUGUGAUGGAUCAUUCUGUCAUUGGAGCAGCUCCGGUGAGCCGUAAGACGUCAAGGCUGAAGCAGCACAAGACAGACAUCGUCAAUCUCAAGUGGGAUUCUAAUAGCAUCUCCAAUAGAUGAUGAAAAAUGGAUGUAAAAUUAACAUCACCAAAAACCACCUGACUACAACAGAUGAGGUAAAAACUGUUGACUCUGAACUUAACUAUCGAAACUGAAAUUAACUGUGGAAUCUGAAUGCUACUGUCGAAACUGAACGCAAUGGUAGCAGAGAGACACUUGACAUGUAGUUUAGGGAGGGCAUGUAGUUCAUCUUCAACCUGCACACCCCUGAGCCGCCUGCCACCACCGGCCCCAGCACCACCUCGCCGCCCCGAAACAACUCGCCACCGCCGCCCCGGCCAGCCCUCUAGGCCCCCCGCCCCCACCCUGAACCCUAAGAUAGAUAGUGGGGUACCUCUCUGGUGAUCCCCCGUCCCUGCUGCGGGUGGUUCUUCCUUAACUCCGGCGAGCCCCCCCUAACCCCUGAAAAUCGACUGAUCCAAAAGUCGAUUCAGUCGACUGAAGUGUGGCUUAAUCGGAGCAGAGCAGCAGCACGAGCGAGGGGGAGAGCAGCAGCAGCAGCUGGGCGAUCGAGCGAGAGCCGGAGCAGCAGCAGCAGCGCGAGCGAGCGAGCGAGAGCUGGAGCAGCAGCAGUAGCGCGAGCUAGCGAGUGAGAGCCGGAGCAGCAGCAGUAGAUCCGGCUGGUAUGGACGCCGCCGCCGAAGGGGCCUCGCACUGGGUGAGAGCCGCCAUGGAGAUGUCGCCUGUUGCGCCGACUUCAAGGUAGCCGCUCCAUGGCGGUGCGGGAUGGAGCACCGUCGGCGCCGAGAGGUCGAGUUAAGGAGAAGGUGCGAUGCGAUGAGUGUACAACCUCUUUGCUGGCGCCGAGUAGGCCUCGGCUUCGUCCGAGGAGUCGAUGAGGAUGCUGCGGUUCCGGUGGAGCAGGUUAAGGUAGCACUGUGGGGAUGGAGCAGCCGCGAUAGACGAGGCGAUCGUCGGAGCAUCUCCUUGGAGGUGGAGGACGGGGCGGCUGAACCGGCGGGAUGGCGAGAUGGACGACGGAUCUUCAUCCGGGGAGGUGGACAAGGGACGUCGAGCUGUUGCGGUGGACGACGUCAUCGGGGAAGAGGCUCCGGCUGGGCAGCGGUGACGUGGCGGACGGAGGAGGAUGGGGUUUCGCGGCUGGAGCGGAGAGGUUAUGGCGGCCUGGGAUUUCGAAUGGCGAAAAGGGGGCGAUGGGAGGGGGUGAAGCAUGACUUAGGGACACGCUUGUCCAAAAUGUAGGGUGUGUUACAAAAGUACCCCCCACCGAUUUGAACUAGCGGCCCUUUAGGCUCAGGGUUAGAAGGGGGAUUUCACGUGUCGGGAUUUGGCAGCUGGAGGGAGUUUUCACAUGUGUUGUAAUUUCGGGAUAGCAAGGCGCGGGUUGUAAAGGCCCCAGUUUUGGGAGCACGAUAUCUGAAUUUUUGGGAUAUAACAAGACGCGGGUUGAAUUUUAGGGACAAGCCUAACGUGUAGUAAUAUUGUACUUUUUUUGACUUCAUAGUAAUAUUGUACUUGUACGUACCAAAUCAAUUCGCACUUCCCUCAACCAAAAAGAAAACGAAAAAAAUAAAACUAUUCACACCACACAAAGAGAGAGUCUUGCCCCGUUUUACUAUACAAAUGCUAUUCAAAGCUACUCCCUCCUUCCAUCUAUAUAGGGCCUAAUGCGUUUUUCGAUGCUAACUUUGACCAAAUAUUAGAGCAAUGAUAUAUGACAUGCAACUUACUCAAAGCACACCGUUAACUUUGUCUGUGAAAGGUUCUUUCAAGGAUAUAAUUUUCACAUUGUGCAUGUCAUGUACUAUUAAUCUUGUCAAUAGUCAAAGGCGGUCUUAAAAAUCUCAUUACGCCCUAUAUAGAUGGAAGGAGGGAGUAUGAAUCCAUGUUAUGUCCGAUUAAUUUUUUUGCUUUGCUGUAUAAUGCAUGUAACCUACUCAUACCAACAUUUUAGUGCAUUCCAAAUGUCUAUACUACCGCUGCAAUUCGAACUAAAUUUGAAUUCGUUUCUCUAUUUCAAUAAGAAUCUACAAUCAUGAUUGUUGCCAACUUCAACCAUCAUAGUUUCCUUGCUAUCCGCCAGAUAUAAAUCGGACGGCCUAUAAUGCAGGAUGGCAGGCACACCAUCAUCAACAACUCCGUUUUUUAUAAGAAUAGAGAUAAAAUAUAUUAAAUGUAGUAUAACAUGUUCAUAAACACACCAUGUGUAUCACCGUUAUAUAUAUUCACACACACGUCGGUUUAAAACACUAUGAUAAAUUCUUCAAAUAUUCGAAUUCGUUUUUUAUAAUGAAGUAUAUAUGAUCUCUAUUCGUCUUUUACACCCACACAACCCUCUUAUCUUUGUAGCUAGCGCUAACUUUCUCUUGUGCAUGCACACGCCUGCAUCCCUCUCACCCUCCCUCAGCAUUAUUUAGCUCCAUCGCGCAAAUUCAUCUUUUCACUUUAGGUCGUUCACCCAUGGUGUGUGUAGGCCCCCAGCUCCUUCUUUACGGCACACAUCGAUCAAUAUGCCUCUCUAGCCAGGUGUGCCUAGCACAAACACAAGCUUCCCCUCUUCUCUUGUCACCGUCCAUGCCUCACUCCCACCACUCUUUUCAUCGUUCUCGUACUCGCACACUCCUCCCCGCUUGAUAUAGUAUGCCUCUCGUACCACCUCCUACAUGCAUCCCUCUAUCUCUAUCCUUCUCCUCGUGCCUCGUUUGCUUCUAACACACACAUGCAUGUAUACCGAUCGAUCUCCCAACAUAUACCUGGACCGACUUUAACUACCCCCCCAUCGAUCGACGUACCUCACAAGUUAUGUCUCUCCUUUCUCUAACAAAGGGCGUUUGAUCUUCCUAUGUAUUUAUGUCUGCUUACUACAGCCACAUCGUCCCCCCUCAUCAUUCGUGCAUGCCUCCUGACCCAUCUCUCACACGCACGUGCACAGACAACAAGCAGCCAUCUCCUCUCUUAUUGAUAUUGCGGGCGUGCCCUCCGUUUGUCUAGCAAGCCUACCCUACCAUUUGUUAGAAGCAACUCCACUACCACCCCCUCCAACACUCUAGCUCUGUCUCUCUCCCAACCUUAUUCCUCUCAUGCACAUAUGCAUGGAUGCCGAUCGAUCUCCCUUAAUACAUGAGGCAGAUCGAUCUCCUUAAUACAUGAGGUAGGCCUCUCUCCUCCUCCACACAUAUAUCAGCCAUUGUACCUCUAUAGUUAAUUGGGCCUCCCUCUUACCCCACCACACACCGAUAGUCGAGCGCUGCAGGUAGGUAUCCAUGCCACAGAGACAAACUGCACAUGUCCCCUCUCACGUUCUAGUAGGCCAACCACUCUAUAUCUUUGACGUGGGCACACACAAAUUCGAUGGCACUCUUUAUCGAUCGCGCGCGCACACACACACAUCAUCCCUCUUUUCGAUUCUAUGGACACCUCAAGCCGGUGAUACCUCCACUCUCUUCUUGUGGAUCGCCCCCUCUAUAUAUAUGUUAUAUCCAGGACUCUAUUUCACACACAUUGCAUAUGUUACAUUUUUUGAUUGAACCCCCCCCCCCAAAAAAAACUCUCAAGAACCCACACACUAUAUCUCUCUAGGUUUGUAUCUCUCUCACACAACCCCGCGUAGGUGGUGUACGUAUACAAGAAGAGAAUAGGUGCACCGUGCACGUACUCACGCUUCGUGCCCAGCCACACCCGCGCGGGUACACGGUGGAGCUCAUUUCUUUAUGAAAUGGCAGCCCACGUGCUAAUUUGAACGCCUGUAGCGGUUGUUUACCUAGGGAGGUCGUGUACCACACCUGCACGAAACAAAGUUCGACUUGACGCGUUGCCGCGUUAUUUUUAAAUAAAGUUAUAGCACUCAAUGGCAUGUACACAGAAUAUAAAAUUUUUUUAUGGAGAAAAAGGUAGUCCGCUCACUAUAUACAAUGGAGCCUUGCGUGCCUGGUUUGUCGCUCUUCAGAGUAUCUCACACAAGGCUGCGGUGGCCUCUCUCUCUCUCACCGUUAGUCACUGAUCUGGCCGCAUCCCAUUCGCCGGGGGAAAGGGAGUGCGGUGGCCUCUCUCUCUCUCUCACCGUUGGUCACUGAUAUGGCCGCAGGAAAGGGAGGAAGUGCAUCGUUUCUCCGUUCGACGGCGCCGAGGCAGCACGUCCCGAUCUGCGGUACACGCCGUUCUCUCUGACCAAGCUCCGGUGCGGCAGGGUCUACGCCACCUGCUCGCAGAUUCCGCCCGCCGCCGCUCACCUAGUUACAUCCCGACGACCUCCAGGUAUCCCCUCCGACCUUGCUCCACUGCCCGUCUUCCCACGUCGCUGCAUGUGGAUCUUCCAUAGUUCUUUGCCCAAAACGUAGCUCGUCCAGCGUACUUCCCAUAUUGCAUUCUCGUCCUCACACCGUUUUAGACAAACACAACCGUGUUGUUAUGUUCCCUUAGGGCAAGGAAUAUGCUUCUUUUUUGUCGUCGCAUGUGUCAUCAACAGUUAUUGGCCAGUAAUUGUUUCCUUUCUACCUCUUUUUUGCAAACAGGGCUAUCCAUUUCACCUCAUUGCUAUUGCGACCUUUUGGUGAACUGCACAAAUCACUUUUUUCUUAAGAGUGUUUUGUGCAGCUGUACUAAAAUGUCACAUGGGCAACGUCUCUACAUUUCAGUGCGACUGCACAAAGGGAGAUUGGUUUUGCUCUAUCCUCCUCAUCCAACUCCGAGCCUAAUCCUCUCCAACUAGUUAGUCUUAAAAGAGACUGCAAAGGUGACUGGCUUCUAUUUAUGUGUUUAUUGUUUCAUCAGCAGUCCUCUAUUAUCGUAAUCACACUUAAUAUCUUUGGAAUAGGGACGCUCAGCUCUAUUUAGUGGAACUGCACAAAAUGAUCGGAAUGUUGCAUGCUCCAGACAACUACAUUUUUUCCCAACAUGCCUUGUUGAUUUAGACAGAGCUGGGGGACGUUGCUGCCAAUGAAAGCAUGGAUCAAUUUUAAUUUAACACCUUCUCACAACUCUGUCUUCAGUUGUGAUGUAAUUAUUAGCUCUGAUCUGCUAAUAAUUGACAUACGCUCUUCUUUGAAUCCGCUCAUACUACUCCAUCCGUCACUGUUUAUACAGCGCGCUUCAGAAAAAAGAAAAAAGAUCUGUGGGACCAAGGCGACUAGCGAUCGACCUGAAAAAUAGCAUUGGUAGUUAUAGCACGACGUCUAUUACUAGUAGAGGGAAUAAUGCGUACACACAUGCAUGUAGUGCUUCCACCCCGGGUACACACAUGCAUGCACUUACUCCAUUCCAUAGUUACAUGGAGAGAAAAUUGUGGACUUGAUUGCGGUUACCACGCCCUAAUUAAUUAAGCAUUAAACCAAACGCGUCUAAAGUCUCUCUGGUGGUGGAAAUGCAUUGAGAGAAAUGCAUCAUAAUGAAGCGUGCCCUGUAAACUAUGACAGAGGGAGGAGUAGUAUGAAGGUUCAAAACCAAGUACGCGUAUGGCCAGUCGGUCAACGCACCUCCUCUUGGCAUAUCACUGACAUGUGGGACAGGAGUGUGAGCAAACCGAUCUCAAUUGACGGCAAAGAGCCAACCCGCCGUUCCUUGAGAGAGACGAGGAGUGAGAACACACAGACGGGUUCGCAUGGAGGCCAAGAUAUAUUCGAGCAUGGUUGGUUGAUCGAUAUCAUUCAUUACAUGUUGAUGUUGGGCUGCCGUUUUCCGCCCUUCUCCGGAAUAAACGUGUAUUUUGUCAGAGAUAAAAAGAAAUAACAGUACAAAUGCUCCACCAUGCGGUUCUAGUAGUAGUACUACUCGUAGUACUGCACUUGGCUCUUCGCCUCUUCGUGAAGUCGAACAAUGAUGGUACUCCGCAUGUUGGGUACUACAGUUUAUGCCUCUGACAAUCUGACACCGAAUGGACUGAUGCAUGCCCACCGAGGGUAGGUUGCAUUAGUCAAAAGGCGUAAGCGAGCUUCACCUUGUCCUGCAAGCUUCUCCUCGUUCUGCGAGUUGACGGGACACACCAAAAAGUAGUGCUAGUCCAUACUCCCUCCUUUCCGGUUAAUAUGGCUCAAUCCUUUUUGCGGGUAAAUGAGAGAGCUUUAUUCAUAUAUAAGCAUUCUUAGGACGAUCAGCCAAGACACUGGUCACUAGGAAGCGUGGUACCCCGCAAAAAAAGAAGUAGGAAGCGAGGUGUUUCAUCAAGCCAGCUCUCGGCCACAUUCAAAGUGCAGCAAGCACGGUUCGCACGAAGAUGCGCCACAAGGUUUGCUGACCUGUUUACAUGCUGAAUAACAAAAAAAGAGGAAAUAUUACCAAGCGCUACUAUUUGUAACAGGAUAUGAGCCAGAAUUAAGCGAGAAUUGUGGCGAGUGUUCCAUGCAAUCAACUUCCAUUAUCACAUGCGAGAACCCUAGAAGAUAACCAAAUGUGUUGAAGAUUGCUUUAUCACAUUUUAAAAUUAUAAUAAGAGUGCAGAUGCUCCUCCAUCCGGUUCCUAGUACUAGUAUAGUACGUACCUUUAUAGACUAUAUUAGUAAACUUUGCGCUUGGCUGUUCGCCUAUUUGGGAAGUCGAACAAUAGUAGCACUAGUAGUAUAGUGUAUGCUUCUGGCAAUCUGACACCGAAUUAACUGUUGCACGUCCACCGCCUGAGCGAGGGAGAGCUUGCAUUAGUCAAAAGUUUCUCCUUGUCCUACGAGCGACCGCGCGCAAGUAAUUCUAGUCCAUACUGCCUCCUCUCCGGUUAAUAUGGAUUAAUUUCAAACGAGAUAAAUACAUUGUCUGUCACUGUAUAUUUGUAAAAAUACGGUCAGUGGACUUCAUAAUACACUCAUUGCGCUCAAUAUAUAUAUAUUUUCCGGUGUUUAUACGGUCACUAGCUCACCCUGACUGAGUAUGUGUGUGCAUGCACGUGUAGGUUGAGCACUUAGCGUGAUCGUGUGUGUUCCGUCGUGUGCUCGGACAUGCAUGCAUUAGGGCGUCGCACGCGUUUUUGCGUCCAUGUGUACGUGUGACUGUUGCAUACACGUAGGGGGAGUACGUGUAGGGGCCACUAAGGAGCAGUCAUAUCACACAGUAAAUCACGUCUGUCGUGUUCGUGUCUCACCCUCCUCCAUGACUUGACCCCACAUGGUCGCUCGGCAUGCCACUCACCGCAAACCGAGUAUACGAUAACUUUCCCGCCUGCUUGUCGAUGGAUCGCGCCAUGGAGUACUACUAGCACUACUGGAAGAGAUUGACGAGUUGGGGGAGGACAGCUAGCUGUAGCACGGACUCCCAAAAACUUUUUACAUGCAUGUUGUAGCCGGCUAUUGCGACCUUUGAACGCGGAGCAGCCGCGUGCACCCGGAAGCGGCGCGGACGACGCUCACUCGGCCGGCGCGCCGCUUCAAUGCCGGCGCCAGUGAGAGGUCGUGUCCGCUCUGGCCGGGCAUGAAUGCGGCACUGACCGUUUUGGGCGGGAAGCACGCGCGGGUGAUGAAGAGGGUUCGGGUUGGUCAGGACCGGCCGUGGCAGCGGUCCGGACGUGCGCAAACAAGAGAUGAUGUACGUUAAUAUUGCUGCGUAUAUAAUUAACAACGUAAAUAAUGUGCCAGUUGGACAAAUAUGAUUGGAGAUGGAGAUGGAAAUGGAAUUUUAUGUAAACACGGAUAUGCAUGUCUAUGUCUAUGUGUGUGUGCGCGACGACUCUCGCGACCUGGAAGCGGGGGUGUGUUUUUGAUCGAGUUUUCUUUCUUGGUACGUUAGAAAAUCAGUUUGUCCAAUUCACAUCUCGAUGUUAUUUAAGGAUAUCAGAUCUAAGCUCCCACAAGUAUAUAAUGUAGCAACAAGAAACAAAAAAACUAGGACAAAAAAAAUAGACCACAAACAGAGUGGACAUCAACUUAGAUGUGACAUAACUAUGUCACAUCUAGAUGUGUCCUAGACAGACCCUUAAAAAAUUGUUCGCCAGUUUUCGUUUCUUUUUUCAGGGAACGCACGUAUUCUAUUUAAAACCACUGCUAUGGAGAGAUUUUUUUACUCCAUUAUAGCCUCUUGUUUGAUAGAGUUUCUCGCGUCUCGCUCUCUCACCCUCUCCAUAUGAAAACAAGAUGACAGUGUCCAGUAUAUCUCUCUCCUCACCGGUGGUCACAGAUCCGGCCGAAUCUCGUCCGCUGCGGGAGGUGAGGAGGUGCAGCGUUGACGUUGUCGCCGUCGGCGACCGGGGGGGGGGGAGCCGAUGCGCACCGUCCUCUCAGAGCCGGCGCUGGCGCGGACGAAGAUCCUCCGUGCCCUUGUUCGCUGCCGUCGUGUGGGCAGAUCCCGCCUGCCCGCCUAAACGACAUCUCGCCCACCUGAGGUAUAACUUCUUGUACUGGUCCAGCUCCCCAGGUUGCUGCGUGCGGGUUUUCUUCUGUGCGACUACUCCCCAGCUCCCCAUGCAUAGUAGCUAGGGUUCGUCGGCUGGUCCAACAUCACCUACUAGUACUAUUAUAGAGGAAAUUCCACUCGAAAAGUUGUCCUGAUUUAUGCCUCGGUGGAGGUAUACAUGUUGUUUCGACAAAAAGUACAUGGUGGUUGUGCGGUCAUUGUCCAUAUGGUGGUAGUACUAUCACUGGUUAAAUGAAGAAAUGCUUUUUUUUCUCGGGUAUCCUGGUUUAGUUCCCAUCAAGAUAUAAUUAUGAUGCUUCUGUUUGUUGGUGUACUUUUCAUUAACCCUUUUUUAUAUUUUUGGAAACAGCGAUGCGUGUCUCCAUACCCGGGCAUGUCUUCCUCAAUUUUAGUGGAACUGCACAAAAUUGGAUGGCCAUUGUUGUUUCGCCUCACUGUCCUCUGCCACGUAGUUCUUCCUUCCUCAAGCUUGAUUACUGAGAAGAAACAGACCAUAGUGAGGAUUUGUCGAACUUCAUUGGUGCCUCACCCAAACUUGAUGCCAAAUGGAUGAUGCAUCACGACGAUGACCUAUCGAUGCUCAUGGUUGCGCCUCAUGGUUGCGUCAGCUGGUGAAGCUGAUCGUUUUUCAAUGAAAAACAAGCUGUCUUCCAUCAGUGCUCUUUGCUUGUUACGCACAAAGAUGAUAUCCUUCAUCAGUUCACCUUGGUUGCGUUGGAGACGCAAUCGUCUUUCAUGUUGGUGCAAUUUUAUCACACAAUUGGCUAUGAACCAAAUGUUUCCUCGAAGAAGGAUCGACGUUGGUACUAAGAGGAUAAGUUUUGUAUUGAUUUCUAAGCCUUCUCACAACUUUGUCUCCAGCUCCCCUGUAAUUUUAUUUGUCCAGCUAUUAACUUUGAUUUAAAAAAUGGUGUGGACUAAAAACCCGGAUGGACGUAGUAGCCCUCCAUUUUUAUUUACUCCGCAUAUUAGAUUUGACUGAAGUCAAACUUUGUAAUACUCUCAAACCUUUCUUAUAAUUGAAAUUAAAAUUCUUUAUUUGUACACACUCUCACACGUUUCCGAUAAUUUGGCGCAUGUGUGGUUGUUCACUUAAGGGAGGGUAGUGUACCACACGUGAAGGACAGGAGUGCGACCAGGACGCGUGGGCGUGCAUCAUUAGUUCAUCAGAAGUAGUACUCCCUCUGUACAUUAAAUAAAGAGUUUCAUUUCAUACUUACACAAUUUAAAAUGAUUGUUAUGGAGAGAAUAAGAAAACCACUCCACUAUAUAUUAGUCGUAUACACAUGAGAGUACUAUAUGGACGCAGCUUCAUUGACUUAGUGCACCUGCCUUUGGGUUUAUGACAGGUGGGCCCAAAAUGUGGCUGGCUCACCUGUCAUACAACCAAAAGCAGAUGGAGUGAAGGCACCUGAGCUCAGUCCAUACACAUUAGUAUAUAUAUAAGCGAGAGCCUCAGCGCUUGUUCGCUAGGGUUUGCACUAUCCACACGCUCGCCGCAAUACAUAUAUGUUACACGCUGGAGGCUCAGCGUUCAUUUCCUAGGGUUUUCUAUAUUCACAGUCUCUCACCCUCUCUUCACCAGAUCUAAACAAGACUGCGUUGGCCUCUUGUCUCUCUCCCCCCUCAUAGCUGAUGAAGGAGGCGUCCGUAUCCCGUCGCACCGGGAAGGGGAGGAGGUGCAUCGUUAACUCUAUCGCCUUCGGCGAGGGAGGCAAUCCAUUGCCGGCUGUGCUGUUCUCUUUCACCCACCGCCUGUGCGGGAGGGCCACCGACCCCUUCUUCCUCGCUGCCGUACGUAGUGUGGGCAGAUCCGGCCUCCCGCCGCAUGCCUUGCCACAUCCUGACGACCCUAAGGUAUAAGUUUCUUUGAAACCGUUGUUGCUCUAGCUGCAUGUGGAUCUUUUUCGAUCUGUAGUCGAAUCUAGGUCUUGGUUCAAAGAGGAAAGAAAGGUGCGGUGGGGUGGAGCAUGAAUCUAGGACGUGGUUCAAUGAGGAAAGGAGGGAGGAAAAGUAGUAUAGACUGGCUAUCCAACCGCUUUGUUGGUCGAAAAGGGAAAAACGGGGUAACCCAGUACACACAUCUGUAAGGAACUGAUCUCUUUGUUGCAAAGGGAAAGAAACUGGGGGGGGGUCGGGUAGUUUGUGCAGGACUAGAUUUGCUGCCCUCACAUAGGAAAAAAGUUCAAAGAGAACAAAUAUGGGACCAACACAGAUAUGCUGCUUGGCUACAUACUCUGCAUCACCCAUUUAUACGUGUGGACGCACAUGGUGCUAGCAUGUCCCAUACAGCUAUUUUGUUGUUGUUAAUCUAAGAAUGCCACCGGAAAAUUGAAGCAAUGCCACUGUUAAAAGUAAAUUACAUUUUUUAAUGAAUGUUGUUUCAAGAGAGUGUCUCUGUUAAUAUGAAUCAAUGCUACCCUUUUAGAAAUGCUACUAUCCUACUUUGUUUUCCAUAAAAGAUAAGUUAGAUGCUUCUUUCUGUCACCGUUUGUUUCAUCCUCCUUUAUCGGCAAGUAAUUGUUUCCUUUUUUGCCUCUGUUAAAAUAGGGGUAUCGAUUCAACUUGUUGCUAUUGCGACAUUUUACUUCGCUACUCAAAACACUUGUGUUUUAAGAGUGUUUUGUGCUUACAAGGAUAUCAAAAUUAAAGCUCGGUUUUAUUCCGACUUCGAUUUUAGUUGAACUGCACAAAAGGAGCCAAUAUGUCCAAGGCAAACUGCUGAGUUACUGGGUCCAGUUGGUCGUUCCACUUUGCAAAAAGAAGCAGUCACUGGAUGCGGUACAUUACAGAAGGAAUGACCGAGAAGCUUUACAGAGUAUUAUUAGACACCGGUGACAUGACUAGUCUGCAGAGACCAUUGGCAAUUUAACAACACGUGGAGUGCCCUGGGCAAAAAGUGCCCAAACAACUACAUGAAGCUAAGACAGGACACGAUCAUAGGCAUUACAUAUUUUGAAUGGGAAAAGCUUGUCAAAGUUUAAUCAUUGAUGUUAGCAAGAAGAUGUUAGUUUAAUAUAUUGGAAUUGGAAAACCUUGUCAAAAUUUGCUCAUUGAUGUUAGCAAGAAGAUGUUAGUUUAAUAUAUUGGAAUUGGAAAACCUUGUCAAAAUUUGCUCAUUGAUGCUAGCCAGAAGACAUGCAUUUGAUAUUUUUGAGUGGGAUGCCCUUACUGUGAGCAGCGUUGAGUGUUUUUUUUCCUAUUCCUGUGUUCAGUUUAGAAGUAAAUAGUUACUCUGCUGAGAUAUUCCUGUGUUAAGAGUUUGUUCUGAAUAUUGUCUAUGUAAUGUCAGACCUUGUGUUUGAUUGCAAAGUUGAGCUUGGAAUGUUGUGGCAUGCGGCAUCACGAGCUGUUCACCGUGCCUCCUAAGAAUAAUGCUUCGUAUUGUUUUACAUGUCGAUCUAAUGCCAAUUUGCUUGUUAAGAAGAUCAUCCUCUUCUGUUGUUUCCGUGCGUAAUAAGUUCAUCGUCUGAUGUUUCAUUCAUAGCCUAUACGACAUGUCGGGUAGGUUAGACGUGAAACCAUAUGAUCUUCUGACCAACUCAUGAUAUUAGGCCAUGAUUGGAUCGUUGUUUUCCAACCGAAACCGCUUGUAAAACUGACGCUUGUAAAUUAAAGCAGAUGGUCUCAGGCGAAGGCGCUUGGGUGGUCGAUUUCGACUAGUAAAAUAUCGGAAGUACUUCACACAUGAUAAAAACGCUGAACGACACUCGGACGAUUGCUAAUCUAGCCGUUAGCUGCUGUUUUAGCCUUGCCCAUGGAUGGCAUCAUACGCACGUCGUGCAUGUAUCGUCUGGUAAUGUCGUCCAUAUAGCAAUGCUCGCAAAAUAUACACUGGUCUCUCAAAUUACACGCGUAACCCGCCGGUUUUACUUAUAGACCUCGGGCCUUCUGAUGAUGAGUAAAUUACACUUGUAUGUUAAUACAUGUUUGAAAUAAACCAGAGCUCCCAAGUGCGGCCUUACCGUUUCAUGCCGUCUCUGUUUCUCGAAGGUGCUCAUAGGUGUCCGAUGAUCCUGGCUUCCUGAAUGAGCAGCAGGCGCUGUAUCAGACCUCCGUAGGGCCCGCGAGGCCCUCUUCGUUGUCCUUCGAGUUGUUGCGCUCGCCAUGGCGCCGAGCAUUGUUAACAUGGUCAACUAACAUAACGAUUUAGGAGAUGACUUUAUUUUGACUGGAUGACACUAGGGACCCACUAGGGCCAUAGCCGUACGUACGCAAGUGCCUCCUUAUUAUGUACAACUAUAUUUUUUUGCUUUCUCUUGGUUUCCUGACAUCACGGUCCCACACCAUUGUCAACCUAUGUAGUUAAUAUAAACGAGAGAAUUGCACAAGGUGCGGCCGACAGCUGGGACCAAGCAGCUCGAGCAGUAUUUGUGUUUUUGAGGCGUGAGCACUGCAGAGUUUUUCUUGGCGGUGAUUUCAUUGUUGUUGAGAGGAGAGCAGGGUAUUAACUGGACAGGCUGUGGCUCGUCUAGCCCAGGCCAGAUAUCCAGCCCAGAUACUACUUUUUUCAAGAUGAAAAUGGCUAGCCCAGCUAUACGUCUUUUUGAGGAAUACCAAGGCAAGAUCAACUUGUUAUUCUCUACCCCGCUGUGCUGCAAAUCUUUCCUAGGAGGGAUGCAUUAGGCUUAAUAGGAAAAUGGGCUUUAAAAAAAAUAAAUGGGAUGUAAUUAUAAAAACUGGGCAGUAACUAUAAAAAAAUGCACCAAACAUGAAAUUAGUUUAUAAAAUAUUAUUUAUGGAUUUUGAAAAUCUUAAAUUUUCAUUGUUGUGCGUGCAUUGUUUCGUUGGAUUUUUAUGUAAUACAAAUUUAUAUUUAAUCUGAAUAGAAAUUUCGGGAUAAAAAUAUUUCGGAUCCCAUCAAAAUGUGGGAAAUUUUAUUGAAUUAUGUCUUCAACGGUUGGUUGAAAUUAUUAAUCGUUGUCCUAGCUAGAAAAUGGGUUGUACUUUUAACAAACUGUAAAUGGGCUAUUGUAAAUUCCAUUAGAAUUCAAAAAUGGGCUGUACAUUCUUACAAAACGCAAAUGGGCUAUAAGUUCUCUGCCACACACUUGUGGGCCUACUAAGUGACGCGUCCCCUAAAAAAAAUAAGUUGAAGCGUAUGCAAGGCUUUGUCAACUUAUUAUAGUCAACACACGGUUCUAGUAGCAGUGGCCGUUGGAUAUCUAUCCAACGGAUGUCGUGCUUCUUCUUCAAUCUCGGAUAUUCUUAGCUUCGGCCGCCCAAAAAAUGAUUCCUUCCCCUGACAUCUGGGGUGCACCGUUUCGGAGGCUGACCUGUGGGCCUACUAAGUUGGAGCGUACAAAGGGCUUUGUCAACUUAGUCAAUAUAAACGAUUCUAGCUUCAGUGACCGUACGAUGUCCAUCCAACGACCGUAGUGCUUCUUCAACCUCUGGUCUUCUUGGUCCAGCCGCCCAAAGCAGUACCGGUCGUGCCGCCUGCUCCUGCCUCCCGUGGCCGGCUGUGCUGCCGCGGAGGCCUCACCGCCCCCAUACUACUCCCACCUGUCGGAUUUCGGGUUCCGGCAGACCCUCUAGAUUCGAACACUGGGGUGCACGUGGAGAUUUUGCCCCCUGCCUACCUGCACCUCACCGCCUCGCUAAGGUCUAAGCAAUCAAAGGAACAACACAAGAGACACAAAGUUUAUACUGGUUCAGGCCACCAUUGUGGUGUAAUACCCUACUCCAGUGUGUGGUGUGGUGGAUUGCCUCUUGGGCUGAUGAUGAACAAUACAAGGAAGAACAUCCUCACGAGGGUCUGUUCUUGGCUGGUGCAAUGAACUCCUAGGGGGAGUUUAGUCGCUCUCUCUACUAGUUUCCUGGUGAGGAUCCGACCUGCCUACCCUAUGGGUGGCUAGUCCUAUUUAUAGGCAAAGGCCCUGGGCCUCUUCCCAAAUUGAGCGGGAAGGGCGCCAACAAUUGGCCAUUUUGAAGGGGAACAUCUAGUACACUUAUCCUGACUAAAGUUGGUCCUCGCCUGCCAUAGGCUCUGGUGGUGACGCCGGCUUGGGCUCCACGAUGACCUCCAUCCUGCCGUUCUGCUGGUCUUGGUCUUGUUGCACCGAAAUGGAUGCCUUUUCUUGAUGCUCUCGCCUGCGCUUGCUCCCUUUGCACCAAAGAGGAAAGAAGGACACUGCGCGGGCUGGCGCCCGCCUGGCACCCUUGGUCGUCAUGGCUUGCGUCAUGGGCACCUCGCGAGGUACCCCGCCUUAAUCUCUCUGCCUCCUCGCGAGCCAGCCUGACGAGGCCGUGCCUGAGGAAGCUUCCCGUUGUCCGCCCCGCGAGGCUUGACCCCUCGCGAGGGUCUUGAGCUUGUGCUGAUGAAGAUGGGCCAUCCUGGGCCGCCCCUUGAGCCACACUGCAGGCCGCAGGUAGGCAAGUCUGGGGACCCCCGUUCCCAGAACGCCGACAGUAGCCCCCGGGCCCAAGGCGCGCCCGGACUUGGCUGAGCAGAGAGGCGAAGGGCCAAGUGCGAAGCGCCAUGGGCCCUAAUAGCCUGCGGCCUCGGUCGCCGCGUGGUGGUUGGUUGGACGUGGGUGCCUCAGCAACUGCGUGAAUCGACAAAAGAGUGGCAUCUGCCUAGGCUUUGCUUCCCUUGCUUCCUCCGGUCAUUGCCUAGAUCCCCUUUCUUGCGCUCUUCCUUUCUGCCUUCGAAAUCUUCAAAUCUACCUCGACCGCGCACCCUAGCAAGACAUGGCGCCUCGCCAGACCCCGGCCGAAUCUUGGUACUCGCCCGCCUUGGACUCGCCGAACGUGUCGGAGGCGAGCCUUGCCCGGAUGCGCCGGAUGGUGGCGGCGCAAGGCAUCGACGGGGCGAAGGUGUUCAAGGCCGGCUCCGCCCUUCCUGAGGCCCGAGGGAGCACCUUCUAUCCGCUCUUCGUGAGGGCCAUUGCUGCCGGUCUGGUGCCUCCCUUUUCUGAGUUUUUCUUCUCUGUCCGCCGCCAUUACGACCUGCAAGCUUUGCAUCUCCACCCCAACUCUGUUCUUCUUCUGGCGAUCUUCGCCUACUAUUGUGAGGCUCACGUUGGAGUGCAGCCCUUAGUGGCCUUGCUGCGCCACUACUUCUCCCUCCGGUCCUCUUGUGGUGCCAUCUCCGCGUGCGUGAGCUUUGUCGCGUAUGGAGGCUCCAACGCCAUCUCGAAGCCCGGGAAGAGGAUUGAGGGCUUCAGGAGCAAGUGGGUCAUGGUAGAUGCUGGGCGCAUCCACCCUCGGCUCCGAUGAUUGGUCUCGCGUGGAACUUGUGGACCCUCGCGCGAAGCCGGUGUUGGAGAAGAUGGACGCAGAUGUGAGGCCGGGCAACAUGGCGGCGGCGAAGCUGACUGGUGCGUCGCUCCUGAGGGAGUUCCUGGAGCACCAGGUGGCCCUGCUUCGUAAGUACUCGCUUCCGCUAUGGAGGCCCCGCCCGAGCCCCGUAGUCUUGGCCGACGAAGAACUGGCCGCGGUCCUCCAAUCUUUGGUCGGAGGAGACGUGGCGAGGCUGGAGGGCGCCCCUGUACUCUUGUUCCUCCGAGAUGAUUGGGAGAAGGUGGUGGACUCCAUGCCCAUCUUCAAUGGGGACGGGCCUGUGCCCACGGAGGUUCCCGAGGACCCGACGGCCAUGGAGACGGUGAACGUGUCAUCCGGUGACUCCAGCGAAGAAGAGGAAGAAGAGGAGUGGGAAGGGGGCCUGACCCCGAGGCUACCGACGAGAAGUCGAGAGCGCCUCUCCCCCGGCGCAGGUCCCGUGCUCUCUGCCUCUCGCCAAGCGACGACGAGGAUGAUGACGAGCGGGGCGGCGAGAGCUUGCCCCCGAUCUCAAAGAAGACCAGGUCUGGGCUGGUCCCCCUCGGGUCUGCCCCGGUUCCGAGGCAAUCCGCAGACGUGCCUCCUGCUUCCGAGCCUCUCAAGGCUGAUCCCAGCAGCCGGCUCUCGGGCUUCAAGUAUGGCCGGAGGUUGCUCGAGCUCGCGAGCGGCGACUAGUAAGUGCUUGAUUCUUGUUUUAUUCCUUGCUUUGUCGUUGAGGCUUGAUGUCUGUAUCUCUUGGCUAGGUUGGCGCCAGCAGCGAAGAAACUGAAGGGGGCUCCUGAGGUUCCGUCUGGGCAGCGCCUCUGACCACGAAAGAAGGUGGCUGCAAGGCACGGGCCUCUCCUACCCGGUCGUCCUCGCGAGGCCUGGUGGAGCUGGCUGGGGCGAGCUUAGCCCCCAUGGCCCAAGUGACUCCUGAGGUAUCCUUGCCUGAUGCCAUCGCCAUAGCUGUUGGGGCGCAUCAGGUCCUGCCUCAGGAUGCUGUGGUUACGCUGCCGUCCUCUCCUCCUACUCCACCAACUGCUGUCUCUCCGACUCCUUCCACUGUCCUGGAUCACGCUGCUGCUGAACUGGACCGGCUGCGGCAAGAUCUUCUGGGCGCCGACCCUCACUUGGUGGCCGGGCGCUUGGAGCUGGCUUCUGGCUGGAUUUGCUCUAACACUUCGAUUCGGGUGGCGCUGGUUUAGGCCUCGACGGCCUGCAACGAGGAGAAGCAGGCUGUCCUCAGGGCGAAGGCCACUCGAGACACCGCCUUGGGAGAGGCGGCUGAUGCCCGAGGUCGUUGCAAGGCGCUGGAGAGCGAACUGCAGGGCCUGCGGGACCAGCUUGUCGAGGAGGUCCGCAUCCGCCAAGAGAAGGAAGAAGACAUGAAGGCUCCCGAGGCGGCCAUCAAGGACCGAGACGCCAAGCUUAACAAGCGCCAUGACUGCCUGGGUUCAAUGGAGCAGGAGUUGGAGGCAUGGAAGGUCGAGCUGGACGGCAAGGCGCGGGUCCUUGCCGAGGACCGUGAGGCCUUCACGAAGACGGAGGUGAAGGUUCACGGCUUGCUGAAGUCGCUCUACGACAGCGGCCUGGAAAGCCCGCUGGCCGGUGCCGAGGAUGGCCCCGCCAAGCUGCUCCCCUUCCUGGUCCGUGCUCUUGAAGAUGUCACCCUUGGCCUUGGCCCUACGGCUGAGGCCGAGGCGCGUGUCCUGUCUUCUGCAGCGCUGACGCGGGUCCUUACCCACGUCUACCUUCGUGAUCCCAACGUCGACCUCGACAGCCUGUUGGAGCCAGCGAGCGGUGAGCUUGCCGCUGCCGCUGCUGAGGCCGUGAAGGGUCGUGCGGAGGCUCUGCUAUCGAGGUUCCGGGCCUUCAGACCAAGCCGAAGCGAGGCGCUGCCGGUCCUGCGGCUCCACGAGGCGAACCCGCUCCGCGCAGCUCCGCUGCCAACAAAUGACUCCGUCAUCGCUCCUGCCCUGCUUUCAGCUUCUGCAACAUGCAUCAUGCCUGGGGGAGGCGUUAAAACUUGUGUUUGGUGUCGUGAUAACAAUUAUGGAUUGUAAUAUUUUCUUUUGAAUUCCUUGAAAUUUGCGCUCUUCCUACUUGCUUAUGUUCUACGCUGACAGAGCCCGGCCCCGUGCAUACCUCAACCGCCGUUAGCCCCGACCGGAAACCAGGACGGGACCAAGGAGUGAGGGGCUAUGUGACAAGUUAGGCUCCUGAGUCGCGAUGCUCAGGAGUCCCCCUUGGCGCACAAACAGCAAGUAGGGAGGUGAGAUGUGUGGGUGAAUCUACCAUUCUACGUCUGCAGAGCCCGGCCCCACGCAUACCUCAAGCGCCGUUAGCCUUUCGGGACUAAGGAGUGAGGGGCUACGUGACCAGUUAGGCUCCUGAGUCGCGAUGCUCAGGAGUCCUCCUUGACGCUCAAACGGCCUUCGUACCUUGGCUCCGCUCGGGGAGAGACGCGCGACAAACCAGGCCCGAGGGGCCUGGUUGGGUGGCGUACGUCUGGGUGUGACCCAGGCGCAGCCCCCGUGCCCAGCCCCUUCACGCGGCACUCCCGAGGGGAGGCGUUGCGAUGAGGCCAGACACUGAGCUCGGGGCUCCCUGAGGUUGAUGCGGUCGGGGGCCACCCUCAGUUGUUUAUCACCAGCACGGAGCAUAGCUCUUCCGUAUGUGUACGGGCAUAGCCGCUCCUCGGCAGUGUCGUCAGCCAACACAGAGCAUGGUGCUUCCACUGGUGCGUGGGAGGGGGCUCCACUCCGGGAGGAGCCCCCGGGGCAUGUACAGCCCGCCCUGACACGUGGGCGGCACGGUAGGGCAUGAGGAGGUGUAUCUGGGCACCCGUGAGCCAGCGCGGGACUCACGGGGCCCUACCUCAAGGCGGGUUGUGCUUGGCACUGGACCUUAACUUGUGAUGUGUUCCUGCAAAUUUGGCUAGAUGCCGAUGCUCUACGUCCUCGGGUCCCGGCCCUCGAGUGAGUCUCAGCCGUCAUUGGUUUGCCAGGGCGUGAUGCCGUGGACAAAGCCAGAGGGUGAGGGCUGGAGAGCCAGUAGGAGCCCUGAGUCGCGAUGCUCAGGUACCCCCCCUUUAACACGCAAGCUUGGUUAGAUGUCGACGCUCUACGUCCUCGGGUCCCGGCCCUCGAGCAAGUCUCAGCCGUUGCUGGUUUGCCAGGGUGCGAUGCCAUGGACAAAGCCAGACGGUGAGGGCUGGAGAGCCAGUAGGAGCCCUGAGUCGCGAUGCUCAGGUACCCCCCCUUUAUCGCGCAAGCGGCCGACAUGAAGGAAGAAGAGGUGCCACGGACAGGCACCAAAUAACAAGCAUGAUGGGUCGAAUGCAUGGCCCAAAAAUAAACGCAAGAGGGGUACACGCCGCUGGGUCUGACCCGAGCGACUUGGGGAUGAUGCAGCCCGAGGGGCGCCCCCAACAAGGUAAGCUAAAAACAUGAGCAAAAGGGAUACACGCCGCAGGGACGGACCCACGCGGCCUGGGAAUGAUGCAGCCCUGAGGGCGCUCCCAACUGGAAAAGAAACUUGAAAGAUGUCACCUGAUAGUGUUGACGGUGAAGGGGUGUUGAAGUAGCAGACGUCGUGGGCUGCGGAAGCCGAUCUUCACGAGCCCCCAGGCCCAGGAGCCUCGGGAGGCUCCGGAGGCGCUGGUGGCUCCUCGCGAACCAUCUCCAUCUCCGCCAGCACUGCGGAAUGCCUGGCCUCCUGAGCCUCCAGGAUGCUCCUCAUGAGGCGCUGGCGCACCGCAGCCGCAUUCGGCAAGCCGUAGGGCUUGCGAACACAGUUAUGGGGUGGGCCUUCGCAGCGCCCCACGCGCGAGGGCCAGAAGCGCUCCUGAGAGGCGGCUCGGUUGAGCCCUGGGAUGUCGAUGCAGACGCGCAGCCCACCAUCCUCGCUUCGAUGGGGACCUGCGGCGGGUAAGCGGCGGCUGCCACUCAUGACUCUUGACUCCUGCAACUCCUGCGUGAUCUGACUAACGAACUCCUGAGGGUUUGGCCCUCCUUGAUUUGCUCCUUCCUGAGGGAAACGUGCUUUGAAACACGCCUCCAAGUGGUGCCCAAGCGCCUCCCUCGUGACCUUAGCAAGGUCGGUGGCCCUCCAGGAGGGAGCCCCCGAGCCCUGCUUGAGGAGGGCGCCGGGUGCACCUUCCUAUGCGACAGAAGGAUGUGCCCCCUGAGCAGGCGCAAACCCUGAAGGGCUUGCCUCCUGAGGGGUCGGGCCUGGCGAUGUCUUCUUCUUCUUGGGAGCGGCCUCGGGGAGCCUCCCGCUCCCGCGAUCUGGGUCUUCAAGUGAUGCGUCCUGAAAAGCUCAUUCCAGGGAGCACACUGCGUCUCUUUCUUCACAAGGCACCAUGAUGACUCCACCGCUUCCUGGCAUCUUGAGGAUGUUGUAGCCAUGAUGCGUCACGGCCAUGAACUUGGCGAGAGCUGGGUAGCCGAGGAUGGCGUUGUACGGAAGGCGAAUGUGGGCGACGUCGAAGUCGAUGAGCUCGGUGCGGUAGUUGUUGUGUGCCCCGAAGGUGGCAGGGAGGCGGACCUGCCCAAUUGGAACUGUGAAGCCGUCGGUGAAUCCGGAGAAAGGCUUGGUUGGCUGAAGCUGAUCGUAAGGCACUUGGAGAUUGUUGAAUGUCUCUACGGACAGGACGUUGAGCCCUUCCCCGCCAUCGAUGAGGGUCCUAAUGACUUGCACGUUGCUGAUGACUGGGGAGCAAAGCAUUGGGAGGACUCCGGCUGUGGCCGCGCACUUGAGCUAAUCCGCUGAGCUGAACAUGAUGGCGCACGCCGACCACCUGAGGGGGCGCAUGGCUUCAAGCUUGGGGAGGACUGCACUCACUUCGCGGGCGAACUUCUUGAAGAUGCGUUGAGAGGCUGGGGCUUGAGCUCCGCCCAGGAUGUAGGCGAUCGCGCGCGGCUCCUGGAAGCCCCCAGCCCCCUCGUCCUGAUGAUGGUCCUCAUUUCUCCUUGAAUGCGGCGGCAGUGGAGGGAGGCCUGUGUUUCCUUGCGGACGAUCCUCGCGAGGCUCAUCCCUCCAGUCUCCCUCGCGAGGCUGACCCCUCAAGUGAUCCUCGCGAGGUUGGUCACGCCACCCUUGGCGAGGGUCGCGGUCUUCCCAGCGUCCUGUGUUCCUUCCUCCUCCUCGGCCAUAGCCACGAUCAUUGCGGUCAGGGCGUCGGCCGUUCCUUCCUUCUCGCACGGCUCGGAGCUCUUGGCAUUCGUUGGUGUUGUGGGUGUGGAGGUCGUGGUACACACAGUACCGACUGCCCUUGAAAGACUCAGGCUGAUCUCUGCCCCGCUUGGUGUCUGGUUCUGCCGCGAGCACGACACCCCCUUGCGCUUCACAUCGUUGGCCUUGGAUUCUUCUCUUCUGGGUCUGCGGCUGGCAGCUCGAAGAGGGAAAGGCGCCCUUCCUCAGCCCUGGAGCACUUGGUCGCCAAGUUGAACAGCUCCAAGGAAGUGCACAGAUCUUCAUGCAUCGCUAGCUCCUGCUUCAUCUUGACUCGCGCACGCCGUCGAAGAAGGCUGAGAUGAUGGCCUCCUUGGUCACCUUGGGAAUCUUGAGACGUGCGUUGUUGAAGCGCUGGAUGUACUUCUGCAGGGUCUCCCUGGAUGCUGCUUGAUGCGGCUCAUGUCGCUCACGGCAGGUGUCCGGUCGCGAGUACCUUAGAAGUUGGCGAUGAAACGGGUGCGCAUCUCGUCCCGGGAGGAGAUCGUGCCAGGAGCCAGGUUCAGGAGCCAGGUGCGGGCCCCGUCCUUGAGCGCCAUGGGAAACCAGUUCGCCAUGACCUUCUCAUCCCCGUUGGCGGCUUCAAUGCCCAACUCGUAGAGCUAGAGGAACUCCGCAGGGUCGGCCGUGCCGUCGUAGCGAGGAGGCAGGUCUGGCUUGAACUUGCAGGGCCACGCAACGUUGCGCAGCUCGGUGGUGAAGGCGCGGCAGCCUGCUGUGGCCACGGGAGGCCUCUGGUGACGAGGAGCUUGGUCCUGCGGGCCCCCAUGCGCUGCAGCUGGGAGCAGCGCGGGGUCUUGGCAUGCUGGCACAGAAGCGUGGUCGCGACGGACCGGAGCAGGGAGCACUCGGGCAGCUUCUUGGGGGCGAGGAACCUCUUGGCAGCUCCGCUCUUGCUGCGCUGGCGCCAGAUGGAGUGGGUUCCGUCCAGGGGCCACACGCCUUGGGGCCAGGGCGCCUUCUUAAGGGGGAGGAGGCUGAGGUGCCCCUGGAGCUUCAUUGCCCGCGCAGGGCGGGGCGUGGUGUAGCGAGAAGGACGGCGCGGGGGAGCCCCCUGCGGCGCGGACGAGCUCGGCGAUGCGGUCGAGCCACUCUUUGUAGACGUCGUCGACUGGGCGGUAGCACAGGAGCUUGUUUGCUGUGAUGAGCGCAGCUCGAGCCUCCAUGGCCAUGCGGGGCGCGCGGGACGAAGAACCAGUCGGGGUGAGCGAGGGGGUAGCAGUGUGGCCGUCUUGCCUCAUGGAUGGAUGCUGGGACGAUGCUUGCUGCUCGUUCCCCGCCGGGCCGGUGGCGGCGUUGACGGCAGGCGACAGGGAAUGGCGGGGGUGGCCGCCGACGGGGGCCGUCUGGGUGACGCAGGAAGCAAGAGCGACACGGUGCUCGGCGCAGGCCCGCCGAGCGUCCGACAUGGACGCAAUGGUCGGUGAAGAACAGGGCGACGGGAGACGCAUUCCGGCGCACCCCUACCUGGCGCGCCAAAUGUCGGAUUUCUGGUUUCGGCAGACCCUCUAGAUUCGAACACUGGGGUGCGCGCGGAGAUUUCACCCCCUGCCUACCUGCACCUCACCGCCUUGCUAAGGUCUAAGCAAUCAAAGGAACAACACAAGAGACACAGAGUUUAUACUAGUUCAGGCCACCAUUGUGGUGUAAUACCCUACUCCAGUGUGUGGUGUGGUGGAUUGCCUCUUGGGCUGAUGAUGAACAAUACAAGGAAGAACAGCCUCGCGAGGGUCUGUUCUUGGCUGGUGCAAUGAACUGCUAGGGGGAGUUCAGUCGCUCUCUCUACUGGUUUCCUGGUGAGGAUCCGACCCGCCUACCCUGUGGGUGGCUAGUCCUAUUUAUAGGCAAAGGCCCUGGGCCUCUUCCCAAAUAUUGAGCGGGAAGGGCACCAACAAUUGGAAAUUUUGAAGGGGAACAUCUAGUACACUUAUCCUGACUAAAGUUGGUCCUCGCCUGCCAAAGGCUCUGGUGGUGAUGCCGGCUUGGGCUCCACGAUGACCUCCAUCCUGCCGUUCUGCUGGUCUUGGUCUUGUUGCACCGAAAUGGAUGCCUUUGCUUGAUCCUCUCGCCUACGCUUGCUUCCUUUGCACCAAAGAGGAAAGAAGGACACUGCGUGGGCUGGCGCCCGCCUGGCGCCCUUGGUCGUCAUGGCUUGCAUCAUGGGCACCUCGCGAGGUACCCCGCCUUGAUCUCUCCGCCUCCUCGCGAGCUAGCCUAACGAGGUCGUGCCUGAGGAAGCUUCCCGUCGUCUGCCCCGCGAGGCUUGGCCCCUCGCGAGGGUCUUGAGCUCGUGCUGAUGAAGAUGGGCCAUCCUGGGCCGCCUCUUGAGCCACACCGCAGGCCGCAGGCAGGCAAGUCUGGGGACCCCCGUUCCUAGAACGCCGACACCACCGCUGGCCAGGCCAUCCCUCCACUCACCCACACCCCCUGUUAUUCUGCGGCGACGGCAGCCUCACACCGUAGCCGAACCAGUGAACCCUCGUACUCCUCUCCGCGCGGGCUUCCACUGCUGCGUCUUCCCUGGCUAUGCGUCAUCCCCUUCCUAGGUGUCGCCGUCGUCCAUCGCCCUGGUGCUCUCGAAGUGGCGUGGUCAACGUGGUCAACGACCGACUUCCAUUGGAAGAGUACUGUACGUGGAGAGGCUGACAGCUGGGUCCACGGUGGCCGCAAGGAAGUGCCUCCUUAUUACGCGCAAAAUAAUUAUACCUCCACCUGACAGCAGGAACCCGUCGGACGGGCCACCUUAUUUCGCGAAAAAAACGUUUCCCCCCUGACUGCUGGUACCCACCGGACGGGCCACCGUAUUUCGCGAAAAAACGUUCCCCCCGCUGUCAGCUCGGACCCACCGGAAGUGCCUCUUUAUUACGCACAAAAAAAUGAAUACUCCCCCUGCUAGCUGGGACUCACCUUGGUGGGAAGCUGACUUGUGGGCCUACUAAGUUGACGGGGACGGAGGGCUUUGUCAACUUAGUCAAUAUGAAUGAUUCUAGCUCUAGUGACUGUACGAUGUCCAUCCAGCGACCGUAGUGCUUCUUCAACCUCUGGUCUUCUUGCUCCAGCCGCCCAAAGCAGCGCCGGUCGUGCCGCCUGCUCCUGCCUCCCGUGGCCGGCUGUGCUGCCGCAGAGGCCUCACCGCCUCCAUACUACUCCCACCGCUGGCCAGGCCAUCCCCCCACUCCACUCACCCACACCCCCUGUUAUUCUGCGGCGACGGCAGCGCAGCCGAACCAGUGAACCCUCGUACUCCUCUCCGCGUGGGUAUCCACUGCCGUGUCUUCCCCGGCUCCGCAUCGUCCCCUUCCUAGGCCUCGCCGUCGUCCACCGCCGUGGUGCUCUCGGUGCGGCGUGGUCAAUGUGGUCAAUGACCGAAUUCCAUCGAAAGAAUACUGUACGUGAAGAGGCUGACAGCUGGGUCCACGGCAGCCGCAAGGAAGUGCCUCCUUAUUAUGCGGAAAAUAAUUAUUCCUCCACCUGACAGCAGGGACCCACCAGACGGGCCACCAGUAUUUCGUGAAAAAACAUUUGCCCCUGACUGCUGGGACCCACCCGACGGGCCACCGUAUUUCACGAAAAAAACAUUCCCCCUGCUGUCAGCUCGGACCCACCGGAAGUGCCUCCUUAUUACACACAAAAAAUGAAUACCCCCUGCUAGCUGGGACCCACCUUGGUGGGAGGUUGACUUGUGGGACUACUAAGUUGAUGGGGACGAAGGGCUUUGUCAACUUAGUCAAUAUAAACGAUUCUAGCUCCAGUGACCGUACGAUGUCCAUCCAACGGCCGUAGUGCUUCUUCAACCUCUUGUCUUCUUGCUCCAGCUGCCCAAAGCAGCACCGGUCAUGCCGCAUGCUCCUGCUUCCCGUGGCCGGAUGUGCUGCACCGCCCCCUACUAUUCCCACCGCUGGCCAGGCCCUGCGGCGACGGCAGCCUCACACCAUAGCCGAACCAGUGAACCCUCGUACUCCUCUCCGCGCGGACUUCGACUGCCGUGUCUUCCCUGGCUCCCCGUCAUCCCCUUCCUAGGCCUCGCCUUCAUCCACCGCCCUAGUGCUCUCGGCGCGGCAUGGUCAACGUGGUCAAGGAAUGACUUCCAUUGAAUGUGGACUGUAUGUGGAGAGGCUGACAGCUGGGUCCACGGCCACAGCAAGGAAGUGCCUCCUUAUUAUGCGGAAAAUAAUUAUUCCUCCACCUAACAGCGGGGACCCAUCGGACGGGCCAUAGUAUUUCAUCAAAAAAUGUUUCCCCCCUGACUGCUGGGACCCACCAGUUGCACCUUCGCACGCAAGGAAGUGCGUCCGGGCAAAAAACGAUUCGCCCCCCUGACUGCUGGGACCCACCAGCUACAUGUUCGCAUGCAAGGAAGUGCGUCCAGGCAAAAAAGAAACGAUUCGCCCCCCUAACUGCUGGGACCCACCAGCUACAUCUUCGCAUGCAGGGAAGUGCGUCCGGGCAAAAAAAAAUGAUUCGCCCCCCUGACUGCUCGGACCCACCAGCUACAUCUUCGCAGGCAAGGAAGUGCCUGACAGUCGGGACCCACCUGGUCGAAGCGUACGUACCGUUGUCAUUCUGGUUGCGUACGUGUACGUACAUACUGGUCGAUGUAGAGGCGCGCACGUGUCGUAGUAGAGGCGCGCACGUAGCUUGUACACAUACGUACAAUGGCCAGGGUGCAAGAAAGAAAAUACAGCCACGCACGUACAUACGGGCAGGGUUUCGAACGCCUACUCGUGCAUACGUACAUGGCUGGGUCGGAACGGAGAAACAACGUCAUCGUCAUGUUCAUGGGGAGGUAACGGGAUGCGUCGUGUUCAUCGGGAGGCAACGGAAUGCGUGGGAGCCAACCGGCUGGGUCGGAACGGAAUGCGUGGUCCCGUUCAUCGGGAGGGCUUGGACGGAACAGGCGAUGGAAACGAGGCCUGGCGUACCGCACAACGGAGGAAACGGCCUUGUGUUCGACCGGCCACGUUCGAAACAGGGUCCUGUUGAUCGGGAGGGGCCUGGCGUACCGCAAAACGGAGGAAAUGGACCUCCUACGAUCGAAACGGGGGUCCUGUUGAUCGGGAGGGGUGUGGCGUACCGCAAAACGGACGAAACGGACCUCCUACGGUCGAAACGGGGGUCCUGUUGAUCGGGAGGGNNNNNNNNNNNNNNNNNNNNNNNNNNNNNNNNNNNNNNNNNNNNNNNNNNNNNNNNNNNNNNNNNNNNNNNNNNNNNNNNNNNNNNNNNNNNNNNNNNNNNNNNNNNNNNNNNNNNNNNNNNNNNNNNNNNNNNNNNNNNNNNNNNNNNNNNNNNNNNNNNNNNNNNNNNNNNNNNNNNNNNNNNNNNNNNNNNNNNNNNNNNNNNNNNNNNNNNNNNNNNNNNNNNNNNNNNNNNNNNNNNNNNNNNNNNNNNNNNNNNNNNNNNNNNNNNNNNNNNNNNNNNNNNNNNNNNNNNNNNNNNNNNNNNNNNNNNNNNNNNNNNNNNCACGGGAUACUGUUCAUCUCCACCGUCGACCUCCUCCAGCCUCCACGGGCUACCGUUGAGCUCCUCCAGCCUCCACGGGCUCCUGUUCAUCCAGCCUCCACCGCGCGCUACUCCACCGGCUACUGUUCAACCACCCCUCCACGGGCACCCCUCCACCGUCUACUGUUCAUCAAGCCCUCCACACCACGGGGUCCUGUUCAACCACCCCUCCACGGCCACCCCUCCACCCUCUACUGUUCAUCCAUCCCUCCACACCAUGGGUUCCUGUUCAUCCAGAGGCAACGCCACCGCUCACUGUUCAUCCAAACCCCCCCAUAACGCUCACUGUUCAUCCCAGAGGCAUCAUCGAUCGGCUUCAGUUAGCAGAAGUAGCGAAGGAAUCGCUCCAUUGGGUUUAGUUAACAGCCAUCGAUCGAUCCCUCGGGUUCAGUAACGCGUAGCCUGCAGUGCAAUUGCUCGGGUUCAGUUAGAGCCCAACGCCUCGCUCGGGUUCAGUUAGAGCCAACGCCUUGCACACACGCGUGUACGUACGGGAGAAACACGCAUCGUUCCGCCCUCGACCUCCCACCGUAACCAGCAACUCCCCGAAAUUUUCCUCCCUCUCGCUUCUACCACAGUUUUUCCGUCAUGGACGGCCCAAACAAUGUCAUGCAGCUGCGUCUCUGGCCCACCCAGGAUGAAAAGCCCAUUUUCUGUCAUGAUUUUUUGUCAUAGAAGUAGGAGCCCACCACAUCUAUGAUGAUACCGGGUUUUGUCACAAUUAUCGUCAUAGAAGUGUCAUAUGUAUGACAGAAAAAAAAUUCGUUCGGCCCAAAAUGUCACAGAUGUGUCUUUUUUUGUAGUGCCUUCUUCUCUGUUGUGGUGCCGUGAAGACCAUUUGUUCAAGCACAACUACCAGUUCGCCAAAGACUCAGCUGCGAAGAACAAGAAGGCUCUAGGACUUGACUUCAAUCCUAGUCCUUCCUCACCUCGAGAAGAUGGCACCCGUGAAGCCAAUGAGAACAGGAUCGGCCCCUUCUACAACCUUGCUGGCCUCAUUACACACAUUGCUGUCCAAGGUGCAAAUGUGGAUCAUUCUGAUAAUGAUUCUGAUUCUGAUGCUCCUGCUCCUCCUCCGAAGCCGCAGAAGCAAAAUAAAGCUAAAGCUUCAAAACCAACUACCGCACCAAAAGCUUCUCGAGUGAAGCCAUUGGCAACUGCCCUUCCUGCUCCAAGCAACACAUCUGAAGAUCUCUCUCGCAUCUUCAAAAAGCGCGAGAUGCCUCAGAAGAGAACUGUUCAGAGAUCCAGUCAAGCACUGACACCAGCUGUCGUUCUGAGGAACAAAAUUCAAUCCAUUGAUCUGUCUUCAGAUGAAGAAUUUGUCAAUGAUGCUCUUGAGUAGCUGAUCAAGAGCAAGCAAGAGGCGGAGAUCUUCAAUGAUCUGCCCCUCUUCGAUGUGAACAUUUUGGAUAAUUUCAUUGAUGAGUGGUUCGACAAUCAAGAUCUUAGUUUUGAUGAUCUUCAGCUCCCCAUUGGCAUCAGCGUGGCUUUCCAAGGCGCAAUUGCUCCUAAGAUGGCUCUGGCUCAAUGAAUUGUUGAAUUGAAGCACAAGAUUGACUUUGAGAAAGAGCAGUUCAAGAAGCAUGUGGCCAAGCUCAGUGUGGCUGAUGUUCAGAAGUUCAAACUAAUGCUGAAUGACCUCAAGGAUGCAUUUCGCAAGAAGCAUGAAGAAGCCAAAGGCUCAAGAGAACGCAUGAAGAAUCUUGCUGCCAAGUGUGUUCAAGCGUACAAUGAAGCUGAAAAGCGCAAGGCACGUGGGCGUCCAGGCAUUGACCCCAAGAUGGCUGCCAAAAAGAAGAAGUCUACUGUGGCCCCCACUGAAGCUCCAAGGCGGGAAGAACCUCACAUUGUCUUCCCAGCCAGCAUGACAGACUCGAAGCCUAAGGUCUCCACAGUGGCUUCAGAACAGAAGAAAACCAGGGCAGCUGAAGCCGAAGCCAAAAAGUGUAAAACCAAGAACACCACAGAUGAUGCACCACCCCUCAAGAAGAGGAAUACCAAGAAGAGAGAUCGGGCUGCUCCCAAAGAGCCCCCUUUUGUCGAACCCGUUGCUUUUGCUCCCCCUCCAUCUGCAAAUCAAGAGCGUCCAUUGAUUGUUCAUGAGCUUGCUUCCACAGAGGCUCCUGAAACUCAAGAAGUUCCAGUCAUUGACCCCAUCGCGACUGAAGACAUUGGACGCCAAGACAAUGUAGAAGAUGAUGAAGUCCUUCCUCAGAUUGAGCGCCCAACGGUAUUAUCGCCUGUUCUCACGAACAUCAAGCUCAUAAGUAUUGGUCGUCCUUUGAUGCCAAUCUCUCAAGAUGCCUCGUGGGCUGAUCGCCCCCAACCAGCAACCCCAGUUCAAGACUCACAAAGUACACCCCGUCCUUCACCAACGCAAGGUCCAAGUCCAAUUGUCAAUGACGACAAUUACAUGGAGACCAAACCAUCACCGAAAGCGUCGCCCGUGUUUCAACGGCUUCACAAAGGCCAGAGGCCAUCGGUCUCCAUGACAACCAUCACAGAAGAGGAUUCACACCAGUCCAGCUCAGUGGCACGUCAAGUGUUCCCUGAAGAUAAUCCUUCUAUGACUGUUCCUAUGUCCAAAGCUAAUGUUGCUGAAGACAAUCCGGCUGCAUCAGCCGAAGAAAGACAAGAAGAAGAGCAUGUUGCUACUAUCCCUACCACCCAACAAGUUGUUCUCGAGGAGAACGUGUCUGUGCCCGACCCUCCAGCUACUCAAGUGGAGGUUGAGAAUCCUGAGGCGGCCACCAACAACACUACUGAAGCCAAUGACGUUGUCAUGGCUGAAGACAAUGUGGCGCCUACGAUAAACACUGUGCUUGAAGCCACUGAUGCUCCUACAACGAAUGUGCAUCCUGUCGCCUCUGCUGAUGCCACUGCUCCUGUUCCGCCUCCAAGGCCCCACACCAUUGAGCAUGCAUUCUACUAAGGUGAGCUUGUUCCUGUCUGAUGGCUGAUUCUGGUUCCUCCGCCUGCUCCUGGACCUCAGUUUGACUAUCGUGUGGAGCACAGGCCUCAGCUUCACAAGCCAAAACCAAGGCUGCCAAGGUUCCCAGGUACUGCAUCAGCACCAGGCUCAUUCAAUGUCAAUGGCUUCAUUGCACACAACACCUUCUUUGAUACUGCCAAGAACCCAUAUUCCAAGCCAAGAAUAUCAUCAGAUCAGUUCUGGAGCUAUCAGCAGCGCAACUACUGCUCCUGUAUUCUAUAAAAUCAAGAGUGCAUAUUCCCUCAUAUGCUUGUGGACACUGAAGCCAUUGAUGGUCUGCCCUGUCUAGAAGAAGCCCUUGACUGUUUUCGCGAUGCUGGCCUUCUGCAGUUUGUUACCAACAAGGAACAUUGGAAUGAAGAGCUUCUACUGCAAUUCUAUGCAACCCUCCAUGUUCGCGGCUAUAACAGGGAUACAACGACAUGGGUCCUUGAGUGGAUGACGGGCAAUGUCCAUCAUGAAGCCAAAGCCUUUGAUCUCAUUGAGCUUACUGGCGUUUCCACUCCGGGCGAACUGUAUGAACCUGGUUGUCAGCUUCAUCGUGAUGCUGUGGAAAGCAUCUUUCAGAAGCCAGAGCCCAACAUGAGCCAGAUGCUAAGUAUGAUGAAGCCACUGUCUCAGGAUGCUGAAUAUCCCAAGGAAUUCCUUGUUGAAGACCUAGAGUAUCCACCCUGCACCAUCUAUCAUAUCAUUAGGCGAACUCUAUGGCCCAUCAAAGGGCAUUCCUCCUUAGCAAAGCAUGAAGGUGAAAUGAAGACAUUUGUCUUCUAUAUUCUCAAUGGCAAAAGCUUUAAUACUCAGGAUUUCUUCAUUCGCCAAUUUGCUGCAUCUGGAUCUAACAUCUUUGGUCUGGAAUUCUAUGCUCCUUGGGUUAUGCAUCUGAUCAAGCUUCACUCUGCCAUUGACUAUCAGCCCUCUGCUCGUAACCACAUCAUAUUUCUACCAGAGGUUGAUUUGUCCAUUGAAGCCAUUUACCCAGAGCCUGCCAAGGAAGCACUAUAUCUUCAUAAUGCAGAUCAUCAGAGUUUCUCUCAGGAUGUUGAAGGUGUUCAGGUUGCUUCUCGUGUUUAUCCUCUGGCCGGCAACACUCGCCAUGCACGUACUGAAGCCACAGAAAGCACCAUUGCUCCAAGGCCUCGGAAGCGCUCUCAUGUGCUCAAUGACCGAGAGCUUCUUGUGGCUUUGCAUUAUAAACAUGACAAGCAUCACUACUGGAUGAAGCGUCAAAUCCAAAGCCUCUUGGUGGAUGUCAAUCGCAUUUGCAAUCUUGCCACCAAGAACGCCUUUGUCACUCAUGAAACCCGUCGGAGGACUUGGAAGGGUUUGACACUGCUCAGUGCUGAAGAUGAUCUUCAAUACGAUGGCUUCACCGAAAGAUUCAAGUUUGACACCACUCCUCCCAGGAAUGUUGUUUUACGACGAACCCCGUCUCUUGAAGAUUUAGAGUACUCUUCGUCCGCAGCCACAGUAAAUGCUAGAGUUAUUGAUGAAGCCGAUGAUGCUACUUCACCACCGCCAACAUCAGCGCGUGUCGACACUGCACCAAGUUCUUCUGCACCACCAAACCUCAACGAUGACCCUACUGAGGGAGUCUGAGGGAGUUCCGGACUAGGGGGUGUCCGGAUAGCCGAACUAUCAUCAUCACCCGGACUCCAAGACUAUGAAGAUACAAGAUUGAAGACUUCGUACCGUGUCCGGAUGGGACUUUCCUUGGCGUGGAAGGCAAGCUUGGCGAUAUGGAUAUGUAGAUUUCCUACCAUUAUAACCGACUCUGUGUAACCCUAGCCCUCUCCGGUGUCUAUAUAAACCGGAUGGCCUUAGUCAAUAGGACGAACAACAAUCAUACCAUAGGCUAGCUUCUAGGGUUUAGCCUCCUUGAUCUCGUGGUAGAUCCACUCUUGUACCACACAUCAUCAAUAUUAAUCAAGCAGGACGUAGGGUUUUACCUCCAUCAAGAGGGCCCGAACCUGGGUAAAACAUCGUGUCCCUUGUCUCCUGUUACCAAUCACCUAGACGCACAGUUUGGGACCCCCUACCCGAGAUCCGCCGGUUUUGACACUGACAGAGACCUUGAUUAGGGGGUAUUCGGACAGCCGUACUGUAUACAUCGUCCAGACUAUUGGAGCGUGAAGAUACAAGACUCAAGACUCUGUCUCGUGUCCGGAUGGGACUCUUCUUUGCGUGGAAGACAAGCUUGGCGAUCCGGAUAUUGUAUUUCCUUCCUUGUAACCAACUCCAUGUAAACCCUAGCCCUCUCUGGUGUCUAUAUAAACCAGAGAGGAUGGUCCUUAGAAGGCCGAUCACAAUUACAAUCAUACUAUCAUAGGCUAGCUUCUAGGGUUUAGCCUCUAUGAUCUCGUGGUAGAUCUACUAUUGUACUACUCAUAUCUUCGAUAUUAAUCAAGCAGGAAGUAGUGUUUUACCUCCAUCGAGAGGGCCCGAACCUGGGUAAACAUUGUGUCCCUUGCUUCCGGUAACCAUUAGCCUAAGACGCACAGAUUGGGACCCCCUACCCGAGAUCCACCGGUUUUGACACCGACAUUGGUGCUUUCAUUGAGAGUUCCUCUGUGUCUUUGCUUCGAGGCUUGAUGGCACCUUCAAUCGUCAACAACACGGUCCAGGGUGAGACUUUUCUCCCCGGACAGAUCUUUGUGUUCGGCGGCUUCGAACUGUGGGCCAAUUCGCUUGGCCAUCUGGAGCAGAUCGACAGCUACGCCCCCGGCCACCAGGUCAGUUUCGGAAACCUGAACUACACGGCCGAUAUCCGCGGAGACCUGAUCUUCGACGGAAUCUGGUCUGUGCCAGGAGCGCCAGACAGUCACAAUGAGCACGGCCUAGACCUGCUGUCGGACAGUGCUCGGGAUGUCACCCCUGCAGUUGCCCCGGACCUAAAUCCAGAGCAGACUGCGUGGCCCAAGGACGGGUGGAUAGACCCCACCCCGCAGGCCGCAUACUCAUUGGCGCUAGAGCCGAACCCAUGCCUCACCUCUAGGGACGCCUGUGAUUCCGGACCCCUGGACUCAUAUCAGGCUGAAGGAUCCAGUCCGCGCGCUCCUGAGCCCUCCGAGCCUGGUUGGGCUCCGGUAAUGGAGUUUACCGCUGCGGAUGUCUUACAGCACUCGCCCUUUGGCGACAUGCUGAAUUCAUCAAAGUCUCUCUCUUUGUCAGGAGGCUCUCGGCCGAACUAUGUCCGACUCGAGUGGGAAGCUAGCGACGAAGGAAUUCGUUGCCCACCCACCACCCACUUCAUAGCCACGGUCGAUGAUUUGACCGACGUGCUUGACUUCGACUCUGAUGACAUCGAUGGUUUGGACGAUGAUGUAGGAGAAGAACAGGAACCACCACCCAUGGGGCGGUGGACAACCACCUCUGCAUAUGACAUAUAUAUGGUGGACACUCCGAAAGAAACCAAUGGCGAUGAGGCAAUGGAGGAUAACCCCUCCAAGAAGAAAGCAAAGCAUGGGCGUCGCCAGCACUGCUCCUAGCCACGCCACAGCAAUACCGGCACCGGAGACGAAAACAAUCUGGACGGUGCCGAAGAUGAAUACAACCCCGAUCAGCCCGCCUUCGCACAGGCCGAGCAGGAAGAUGGGCAGGACAGCCUAUAUGAAUAGGCGACGGACGGGUAUCCGGAGGAGGACAACUACAUGCCCCCCUCUGAAGACGAGAUUAGCCUUGGCGAUGAUGAGUUCGGCAUACUGAGGACCCCGCGGAGCAGGAGCGCUUCAAGCGCCAGCUUAUUGCCACUGCGAGGAGCCUGAAGAAGAAGUAGCGGCAGCUUCAAGCUGAUCAAGACCUGCUCACAGACAGAUGGACAGAGGUCCUGGCAGCCGAGGAAUAUGGACUCGAGCGCCACACGGCUGACCGGCCACCUCGUGGCCGGGAUAAAACGGCAUAUCAUCCCAAAUACCAGCCCGCACCCCCGCGCCAGUUCACCAUGGCCCGGGGCAAUACUCAGGACCUGCGUGAUAGAUUGGCUAACACCACAGGACAACCAAGAUCGAUCUACAGAUCACGGGGGCGCGCUGCAACACAUGAUGAUGUCCGUCAUACCGGAUACACUAACAGUAAAUCCGUCCGGGCCGAAUACAGCCAGCCAGACUUAGUCGGACUGCGUCACAACAUAGCCCGACACAGAGCGCCGCACACCCCCUCUGCUUCACCGAUGAAGUGAUGGAUCAUGAAUUCCCAGAAGGGUUCAAACCUGUAAACAUCGAAUCAUACGAUGGCACAACAGACCCCGCAGUAUGGAUUCAAGACUUCCUUCUCCACAUUCACAUGGCCCGCAGAGAUGAUCUACAUGCCAUCAAAUAUCUUCCCCUUAAGCUCAAAGGACCUGCCCGACACUGGCUAAAUAGCCUGCCCGCAAAUUCCAUUAGCAGUUGGGAAAACCUGGAAGACGCAUUCCUCGACAACUCCCAAGGAACAUAUGUGCGACCACCGGACGCUGAUGACUUGAGCCACAUUACUCAACAGCCUGGAGAAUCAGCCAGGAAAUUCUGGACUCGGUUCCUAACUAAAAAGAACCAAAUAGUUGACUGUCCGGACGCCGAAGCCCUGGCGGCCUUUAAGCAUUAUAUCCGCGAUGAGUGGCUUGCCCGACUCCUCGGCCAGGAGAAACCUAAGUCCAUGGCAGCUCUCACGACACUAAUGACCCGCUUUUGCGCGGGCAUGGACAGCUGGUUGGCCCGCAGCAGCACUACGCCACAUUCUGGCACUUCAGACGUCCGUGAAAAUAAUGGCAAGCUACGACGCAACAGAUACAAGUGACGGAACAACGACAACAACACCGAAUACACGGCAGUCAACGUCGGAUUCAGCGGAUCCAAAUCCGGUCAGCGGAAGAGGCCGUUCAAACAAAACAAUCAGGGACCAUCCAGUCUGGACCGCAUACUGGGGUGCCCAUGCCAAAUUCAUGGCACCCUAGACAAGCCAGCCAACCACACUAAUAGAGACUGCUCGGUGUUCAAACAGGCCAGCAAAAUAAACGCCGAAAACAAGGACAAGGGGCUGCAUAGAGACGAUGACGAAGAGCCACGGCGUUCGAACACAGGGGGACAGAAGAAAUUCCCCCCCCCCCCAGGUGAAAACGAUCAACAUGAUCUACGCUACUCACAUUCCCAGGCGGGAACGGAAGCGAGCACUACGGGAAGUCUACGUGAUGGAGCCAGUCGCCCCAAAAUUCAACCCAUGGUCAGCCUGUCCGAUCACCUUUGAUCGUAGGGAUCACCGUACUAGCAUCCGUCACGGCGGUUCGGCCUCAUUGGUUCUAGACCCAAUCAUCGACGGAUUUCCCCUCACACGAGUCCGAAUGGAAGGAGGCAGCAGCCUGAACCUGCUUUAUCAGGGCACAGUGCGCAAAAUGGGCAUUGACCCUUCAAGGAUCAAGCAAACCAAAACCACCUGUAAAGGUGUAAUUCCUGGAGUAGAGGCCCUUUGUACGGGCUCUAUAACAUUGGAAGUGAACUUCGGAUCUCCGGAUAACUUCCGAAGCGAAGAGUUAAUCUUCGAUAUCGUCCCUUUCCGUAGUGGUUACCACGCACUAGUCGGACGAACCGCAUUCGCUAGAUUCAAUGCGGUACCACACUAUGCAUACCUCAAGCUCAAGAUGCCAGGACCGCGCGGGGUCAUAAUGGUCAAUGGAAAUAUGGACCGCUCUCUCUGUACAGAAGAGCAUACUGCAGCCCUCGCAGCGGAAGUAGAAUGCGGCCUCCUCCGACAAACCACCAAUCCGGCGAGGACAACCUCGAGCACCGUCAAGCGAGUCCGGAGCACCCCGCAAUAGGAUCACCAGGCACGCCAAGAGCGCGACUAGCAGUCCGGCCUCCGCUCAAGCCCUAUCAAAGCAGCAUUCGUGCCACGCGUACACAAUUACGCACUCAAAAUACCAUGGACACAGGCGGAGGCUCAGCAGUGACUAAGUCAACGGUAUGGUAUCACCGCAACAUACUUUUGUAACCCCCCCCCUUUUAUCUUUCAGGACAUUGCUUUAGGGCAGCCACUUCAGAAGAUUUGGAUUGUCGGACUUACAUAGGAGAGAAAACCAAGGAGGUAACAGGCUUUACGCAUCAAAGGAAAUACCUAGGUGGAAUCUGUUCAUGAUCGUUAUACCUGUUUUAUAUACCUACAUGCAGCCUGCCCUUGGAUAGGACAUGUUAAAUAGUCCUAUUUACUUCUGCUUAAAUGCACCCAUUGUAAACAUACGCUUAAACGUAUUAUUCAUCAAUGGGAAAUCAUAUAUAGCGUCAGCUUAUUAUUCCUAUCUGCACACUUUUUCUAUAAAUGUUUAUUUACUAUUGCAUCCGUACACUUUGGUUCGUUUAUUUUGCCAGGGGCUUCUUAUGGUGCCCCGCAAUGCGGCAAGCAAAGUCCAAACACUUUCAAUAGUGCGGCACCCUGAACUUAUAGCAUUAUAUGCAUCAGCUCCGAAUCAUGUCUUGGGUCUAUAGUUGGGUUAGCCCGGCUCCCUUGUUUUGGUACCUUACGUUCUGUUAUAUCGGCUAAGGUAGCGCAAGGAGAACUACUGUGAUUGUGUCCCGGUUCUUCCGGACGAGCACCUCAGUAGAGAAAGACGAAAAUUGACCGGCAUGAUGUGGCGAGAGCUGGUCGCUGUUCGAGAGGUCUUAAAAUCCUUAAAUAUUUUCUCCGCUUUAGGCGAGGAAUCGGCCUCGUCCGAUUUAGGCGUAUAUAGCGCCCCAGUUCGGCCUUCCGAACUCUAGGGGCUUCGCCAAAAUUUAAAAUUGUAGACUUCUAUGGCUAAGUGAAGGUUAUAAAGCCGCAUAGUCCGAUUGCCUUGUUCGCUGCGCUAGACACCUCCUUUAGGGACCAAGUAUUUGGAUAAAGAGUGUCUGGGUUUUCCAUGAACACCCCAGUACUAGUUGCGUGGGGGCGGAAGCCGACGACUGGCCUACUUUCAAAAUUUUAUAAACAGCCACACAGAAGGUAAUAUUUUAAAUCGAAAAGCACUACAUAGCGCAAGUAACUUCGUCCUUAUAUUACAAACAUGACAGAAGUGAAUUCAUUCUAAAAUUUUGUCCUUGGUACAUUCAUCGGCCACGAUAUGAGCGCCCUUCAUAAUGCCUUCAUAAUAUCUCUCGGGAUAGCGAUGCGCCUUACCCUCCGGCGGCCCGUCCUUCACCAGCUUCUCCGCAUCCAGCUUGCCCCAAUGCACCUUCGCACGGGCAAAGGCCCGACGGGCACCCUCAAUGCAAACGGAUCAUUUGAUCACUUCAAGCCACAAACAGGCAUUCACCAUCUGCUUGAUCAAACCGAAGUAGCUCGUGGGAAGGGGCUCACCAGGCCACAUCCGGACUAUGAAAUCGUUCAUAGCCACUUCAGCCGCCCUGUGGAGUUCAACAAACUGCUUCAGUUGGUCACUCAGAGGUGUUGGAUGUUCGGCCCCAGCAUACUGGGACCAGAACAGCUUCUCCGUCGCGCUCCCCUCCUCGGCACGGCAGAACUCCAUGGCAUCCGAUGCGCUGUGUGGCAGAUCUGCAAAUGCCCCUGAAGAGCUCCGAAUUCGGGUAAGUAAAAGAAACGCCUCCUCCACAUGCUUGCUUUGCAUAAAGAAUUUCUUACCCGCCGCUAUCUUCUUGGCCUCCUGGAUUUCCUGCUGUGCCUUCUCAGCUUCGGCCUUGGUGUCUUUUAUACUAGCAAGGGCCUUCGCAAGCUCGGCCUCUUUCACCUUAAGCUCAUGCUCCAUGGACUCGAAAUUUUUGCCGAGCUCCUGGAGCUCUUGCUGUACCUCGCCCACUCUAGCAUCUUGCUUUUCGCGCUCCUUGUGUUCCAAGGCCACCUUGUCCGCGGCCUCGGACAACGCUUUCUUCAGAGACGCCACUUCGAUGGUGGCCCCUGUUACAAAUUCACGACGUUCCAUCGUCAGAAUAACUAAUUUUAUCUAUCCUUCAUUAUAUAAGAGCGGGGAAUCAUUCACCUUUGUUCUCUUCGAGCUGCCUCCUUGUGAGGUCGAGCUGUCCCUCCGCCUGAUCCAGGUCUUGUUUUAGUCCGGCGAUCUCGGCUGUGCGGGCAGCAGCGGCAAGCAGCACAACCUGCUUAUUCACAUUCAAACCUAUUGUUAGACUCAUGCGGAUUAUAAUUGACCCUUUGUUUGGUCUUUCUUUCCGAACACCAAACAGAGUAUCAGGGGCUACUACCUAUUGGGUGGUAAUUUCACACAUUUUUAUUACUUACCUUAAAGCCUGUCAGGAGGCUGGUGCAAGCUUCGGUUAGUCCGCUCUUGGUGGACAAAACCUUCUGAAUCACCACACUCAUAAGAGUACGGUGCUCUUCAUCCAUGGAAGCGCCUCGAAGCGCUUCCAGCAGACAAUCCGACGCCUCGGGCGUAGCGGAAGUCCUCUGCACAGACGGCUCGCCCUCCCUAACGAGGGGCUGCCCGCCUGAGUCCGAAACCACUGGAGGUUCCGGAAUAGUGUUCAGCUGAGAGCCCGGCUUACUGCGGCUCUCAUCAACACGAUCCGCGGGGAUCUUGAACCCCGCGUGUCCGAUGUCUGGAAUGCCUCCUUGGGGCGGCUCCAGAGCCACCUCCCCCCGCUGUGGGAGCCUUUGGGACAACACCUCCGUGUCAUCUGCAGGCUGAGGAGUAGUGGCCGUCGGGAGUGAGUUCAUCGUUGAAUCGCUCAAAGACCCAUCCAAAGACGACACCUCGGGAUGGACCCUGGCCGAACUAUAUACAAGUUCGGUAUUAUAACAAAACUAUGAAGAAAAAUUACGAUAGAGUGCGGACACUUACGAUCACACUAAGGGCUUCUUCCUGGGUAGCCACCCCUCCUCGCUAUCGGCGGCGGUGGCGGAGUAGUCUGGAAGGGACGCCUUUCCCUUCUUGGACGUCCCAGCCUUCCCCUCCGGGGCGGCUUUCCUCUUUUUUGUCCCCCCCAGUAUGGGGAGGUAGAGUUUCUUCUUGUCCCCCCCGCCUCCACGGGAGGAAUCUGCAUCGUCGUCAUUGGACGACGAGGGUAUGACGACCUUGCACCGGGGGCCGGUCCGGGCCCCCUGGUCCGCCCUCUCAGGCCCCCGUCCUCUCCGGAUGGGGCGGCCUCUUCUUCUUCUUCUUCUUCUUCUUCCCCUUCGGGGGAGGAGUGUGCCUCAUCGUCUUUGGACGAGGCCUCCGGUACAACUUUACGCCGAAGACCCUUCCUGGUCCCCCGGGCCUUCUUCUCGGCCUUCUUCUCCGGUGCCUUAUAGGGCGCCAGAACCAGCAUCUCCGUCAUGAGAGCAUUGGCUGGACCUUCGGGUAGCGGAGCCGGAUAGUCGAUCCGCUCCGUUGUCUCCACAUAAUCGUGAUCAAAUUUGCACAAUUACUUUAGACUCCCCCACGAAUACAUUGAACUGAAUCCGGUGGUAGUCAGAAAACUCACCGGACGAGGAAGCCAUGCGGCAUGAAGUCCACGGUCCUCGAAUAUGGGAGGAGGUACUUCGGAGGCCUUGAACAGCGCCUUCCACGCGUCCUUGUGCUUCAUGCCAUAGAGUUUUCGAAGCGUCUGGUGUUCGGACGGGACGAACUCCCAUAGAUUAAACACCCGCCUUUGACACGGAAGAAUCGGGCGGACGAGCAUGACCUGGAUCACGUUGACAAGCUUGAUGUUCUUGUCCUUCAUAUUCUUGAUACAGUUUUGGAGUCCGGUCAGCUCCGUAGGUUCGCCCCAGGCCAGGCCCUUCUUUUGCCAGGAGGUGAGCCGAAUGGGGGUUCCGGAUCGGAAUCCAGGGGCCGCCGCCCAGUUGGCGUUGCGCGGCUCGGUGAUGUAGAACCACCCCGAUUGCCACCCUUUUAUGGUCUCCGCGAAGGAGCCAUCAAGCCAGGUGACGUUAGGCAUCUUGCCUACCAUGGCCCCUCCGCACUCCGCUUGCUGGCCGCUCACGAUCUUUGGCUUCACGCAGAAGAUUUGCAGCCAUAAGCCAAAGUGAGGCUGGAUGCGGAGGAAGGCCUCGCAUACGACGAUAAACGCCGAGAUGUUGAGGACAAAGUUUGGGGCUAGAUCAUGGAAAUCUAACCCGUAGUAGAACAUGAGCCCGCGGACGAAGGGAUGUAGCGGAAAUCCCAGUCACGGACGAAGUGGGCGAGAAACACGACCCUCUCAUGGGGUCCUGGGGUUGGGACCCGCCCGUCAUCCGGUAGCUGGUGCUCUAUGUAUGCGGCCAAGUAUCCGGCCGCCCAAAGAUCCGCGAUAUGCUUCUUCUUCAUUGUGGAAGCCACCCACUUGCCUCCUGCUCCGGACAUAUUCAGUUGUGCAGAGAAGACUUGGACUAGGACGCUGGAGCUCGAGGAAGCAAGGAGAAGCGAAGGAGGAGGAGAGCGUGGGUGAAAAUGGGGAUCCUUUAUCCCUUUAUAGAGGCGACAAAAGCGGUGCCCCUCCUCACUUGCCCGUUUAGAAAAGCUUAAUUCCCAAGCGCCACGAUUGAUGGUGCGGUGGGGUUACCCAUACCCGUAUUGAUGAGAAUCCCGUGAUAAGGGGACGUGAUCUCUGCUUUGACAAGACGUGUCAAGGAAACUGCCUCGCAAUACACGUUGUGGCUGGUUGUGGGAAAAUGGUUCGAAUAAUGACCCGGCCGUAAUGACAUAUCACGUCGUCUAAAAAGUUGUCAGCUGAAGUAUCAUUCUCUCUACAGUGGUAUGUAAAGAUCAUUUUUGCAGAUCCGGACACGGUCCAUGUGUUCGAUAAUAACUUUGGAGUAUUCGGAGAAGGAACCCGCCUUGCAAUGCCAAAGACAAGACUGCGCGCCGGACUCAUCGUCAUUGAAGCCUGGUUCAGGGGCUACUGAGGGAGUCCUGGAUUAGGGGGUAUCCGGACAGCCGGACUGUAUACAUCGUCCGGACUAUUGGAGCGUGAAGAUACAAGACUCAAGACUCCGUCUCGUGUCCGGAUGGGACUCUCCUUUGCGUGGAAGACAAGCUUGGCGAUCCGGAUAUUGUAUUUCCUUCCUUGUAACUGACUCCAUGUAAACCCUAGCCCUCUCCGGUGUCUAUAUAAACCGGAGAGGAUGGUCCUUAGAAGGCCGAUCACAAUUACAAUCAUACCAUCAUAGGCUAUCUUCUAGUGUUUAGCCUCUACGAUCUUGUGGUAGAUCUACUCUUGUACUACUCAUAUCUUCGAUAUUAAUCAAGCAGGAAGUAGGGUUUUACCUCCAUCGAGAGGGCCCGAACCUGGGUAAACAUUGUGUCCCUUGCUUCCUGUUACCAUUAGCCUAAAACGCACAGAUCGGGAUCCCCUACCCGAGAUCCGCCGGUUUUGACACCGACACCUACUCUUCACCUACUCCUCAUGGGAACGAGUAGAGACUAUGUCUUCAAACCUUUUUGGUCCUUACUGACAAAAGGGGGAGAAGCAUAGGUUGAUAGUCUUCAAGCGGGUCCAUAUGGGUGGUUGCUAUACUUUUGCCCAGUGUUUACAACUCUCGUUUUUGAUACAUUUGGUUUUUUGAGUUGUAACACUUAAACUUGAUGGUCGUCUGCUACUUUUUCUGCUAUUAUGUGAUGCGAUGUUAAAUCCCGCAUGAAGUCAUUUCGCAGACGUCCAUUUUUCAUUAUGCAUGUCAUUAUUCCUAUAUAUCUGAUCAUGCAUGAUGUAUUGUCUUCGUAUGGUGAAGAGGAUCUCCACAAGUACAACCUGCCAUGUGCAUUUGCAUUCCAACGCAAAAAAUUUAUAUGCACAUGUUCAGGGGGAGCUUUUUGCCACUUAUGAAGACAAUAUCUUAAUCCUUUACAAUUUCACAUACUUUUAUCCCCAUUGAAAACUUCAACCAGUUUGUCAUCAAUCACCAAAAAGGGGGAGAUUGUAAGUGCAUCUAGUGCCACCCCUAGUUGGUUUUGGAGUAUUGACGACAAACUUGGUUGAGGGACUAAUGUGUUUGUGAGAAUUGCAGGAUAACACAGGUAGUAGUCCCUCAUUGAUUCGGUUUACCUACCGGAGAUGACCCCUAAAAAUGUGUGAAGACAUUGAAGACAAUGGUGGUCUGUGAAGAUGUUCACAUUGAAGACUAUGACACGGGAAGACAUUGAGUGAAGACUAUAGAGCGCGAAGACUUAGUUGUUUCGUUGUUUCCUUUUAUUCUUUGUCGAGUCAUAGGAACCACCACACUGUUAAGUGGUGUCCAAGUGAACAAAGUCGGAGUGACUGAAGUGAUGCUCAACCAAACCCUAUGUAUUCGAGGAAGACAAUGAGAGCAAAUCUUAUCCAGAGUCGGAUGAGUCAGCUUGACUUGUAGCCCAAGUCAAGCUGUCGCAUGUGUUUGAAAUCUGACCGUUGCGACACGUGUCAGUUCCUUAGUGACCCAGGGUCAUUUAGGACAAAUCAGGUCGGGUUGCCCAGUGGCUAUCAAUAGCCCACCCCCUACACCAUAAAUUGGUGGCUGCUCAGAGUUAGAUACGACUUUUGUCGUUUGAGAGCAACCCACCUCCGAAACUUUUGAGAGAGAAUCCUUGCAAGGACAAAGCACAAACCACCCAGAGCCCAAAGAGUGUUUGGCAUCACUGAAGUCUUUCUGUCCGCGUGAUCUGAAGACUUGUUACACUUGAGGACUGUGAAUCCUCCAGCCAGUUAGGCGUCACGUUCUGAGCAUCCAAGAGCCAUUGUGGAUUGCCGGUGAACGAAGUCUGUGAAGGUUCGGAAGUCUACCUUGAAGACUUAGCAGAGUGAUUGGGCGGGGACUAGGUGUCCUUAGCUCAAGGGGAAUAAGGUGAAGACGCGGUCUUCUAAGUUAAAUCUCAGCCUCCCUAAGCAGACGUACAGUUGUCACAGCAACUGGAACUGGUCGAACAAAUCCCUGUCCUCCUAAAGCUACUGGUUCUAUCUCUCACUUCUCUCUACUUACAGUUUGUCUUCGUGAAGUCAUUGCCUGCUUGCAUUAUCUAUUUGACUUCACUGUGUGACUACAUCUGAUUGGCUUCAUACUUUCUUCCAUCCUGAUCCUUACUAGCUAUAUGCUAAUAGUCUUCGUGAUUUCACUUCAUUGCAUACUUGGCUAUGGCUUGUCUAGUGUAGUCUACCUUCCGCUGCAUUCGAUUAGUGUUGUUUCUAUUGUUUGUCUUCGAAACUCCCAUGUUUUGAAGACUUUCAUAAAAAUCGCACAUUCACCCCCCCUCUAGUCGAUAACUAGCCCUUUCAGCAACUCUGAAGAUUGGGGUUCUGACGAUGGUAAGGAGCCAGGUAUAACACCUAAGUUUGAUUGUGUUAAAUCUUUUAUGGACACCUACGCUUUUCGUGGAUUUAGCACUAAAUAUGGACUUGACUCUGAGAUAGUAGCUUCUUUCUGUGAAUCUUUUUCUACUCACGUUGAUCUCCCUCAGGAGGAGUGGUUUAAAUAUAAUCCUCCCAUUGAAAUAAAAGUAGUUGCACCUAUUACAGUUGAAGAAAAGAUUAUUACUUAUAAUGAUCCUAUUUUUCCUACUACUUAUGUUGAGAAACCACCUUUUCCUGUUAGGAUAAAGGAUCAUGUUAGAGCUUCAACUGUUGUUCCUAAGAGUAAUACUAGAACAUUUACACCUCCUGAGAAAAUUAAAGUUGAACGUAGUAUUGCUAUGGUUAAAGAUCUCUUGGAUGAUAAUAUAGAUGGGCAUGUUAUUUACUUCUGUGGUGAAACUGCUAAUAUUGCUAGACCAGAUGCUAAGAUACAUAGACCUGUUGUAGGCAUGUCUAUUAUUUCUGUUAAAAUAGAUCAUUGUUAUCAUGGCUUAUGUGAUAUGGGUGUUAGUGCUACUGCAAUACCUCAUUCCUUAUAUGAAGAGAUUAUGCAUGAUAUCACACCCGCUGAAAUAGAAGGUAUCAAUGUUACUAUUAAGCUUGCCAAUAGAGAUACUAUUUCACCAGUUGGGAUUGUUAGAGAUGUUGAAGUCUUGUGUGGAAAGGUUAAAUAUCCUACUGAUUUUCUUGUUCUUGGUUCCCCACAAGAUGACUUUUGUCCCAUUAUAUUUGGUAGACCCUUCUUUAAUACUGUUAAUGCUAAGAUUGAUUGUGAAAAGGACGUUGUUACAAUUGGCUUGGGGGAUAUGAAACAUGAGUUUAAUUUUGCUAAGUUUCGUAGACAACCCCAUGAUAAAGAAUUGCCUAGUAAGGAUGAAAUUAUUGGUCUUGCUUCUAUAUUGUCGUGCCUCCUACUGAUCCGUUAGAACAAUAUUUGCUAGACCAUGAAAAUGAUAUGUUUAUGAAUGAAAGAAGGGAAAUAGGUGAAGUAUUCCUUCAACAGGGUCCCACUCUGAAACACAACUUUCCUGUUGAAAUCCUCGGGGAUCCUCCUCCACCCAAGGGUGAUCCCGUGUUUGAGCUCAAACCUCUACCUGACAAUCUUAAAUAUGCUUAUCUUGAUGAAAAGAAGAUAUAUCCUGUUAUUAUUAGUGCUAACCUUUCAGAGCAAGAAGAAGAAAGAUUAUUGAAAACUCUAAAGAAGCACAGUGCUGCUAUUGGAUAUACUUUGGAUGAUCUUAAGGGCAUUAGUCCCACUCUAUGCCAACACAAAAUAAAAUUGGAGAAAGAUGCCAAACCAGUUAGAGAUCCUCAACGACGGUUAAAUCCUAAGAUGAAAGAAGUGGUAAGAAAGGAGAUACUAAAACUCCUUGAGGUAGGUAUAAUUAUCCCGUUGCUGAUAGUGAUUGGAUAAGUCCUAUCUAUUGCGUUCCUAAAAAGGGAGGUAUUACUGUCAUUCCUAAUGAUAAAGAUGAAUUGAUCCCGCAAAGAAUUAUUACAGGUUAUAGGAUGUUAAUUGAUUUCUGCAAAUUAAAUAAAGCUACUAAGAAAGAUCAUUACCCUUUACCUUUUAUUGAUCAAAUGCUAGAAAGAUUAUCCAAACACACACAUUUCUGUAUUCUAGACGGUUAUUCUGGUUUCUCUCAAAUACCUGUGUCAGUGGAUGAUCAAUCAAAAACUACUUUUACUUGCCCUUUUGGUACUGUUGCUUAUAGACGUAUGCCUUUUGAUUUAUGUAAUGCACCUGCUACCUUUCAAAGAUGCAUGAUGGCUAUAUUCUGUGACUUUUGUGAAAAUAUUUGUGAGGUAUUCAUGGAUGACUUCUUCGUUUAUGGAUCCUCUUUUGAUGAUUGCUUGAGCAACCUUGAUCGAGUUUUGCAGAGAUGUGAAGACACUAGUCUUGUCUUGAAUUGGGAAAAGUGCCACUUUAUGGUUAAUGAAGGCAUUUUCUUGGGGCAUAAAAUUUCUAAAAGAGGUAUUGAAGUUGAUAAAGCUAAAGUUGAUGCCAUUGAAAAGAUGCCAUGUCCCAAGGACAUUAAAGGUAUAAGAAGUUUCCUCGGUCAUGCCGGUUUAGAUAGGAGGUUUAUUAAGGACUUUUCUAAAAUCUCUAGGCCUCUGACUAAUUUAUUGCAAAAAGAUAUUCCUUUUGUCUUUGAUGAUGAUUGUGUGGAAGCAUUUGAAAUACUUAAGAAAGCUUUGAUCACUGCACCUAUUGUUCAGGCACCUGAUUGGAAUUUACCCUUUGAAAUUAUGUGUGAUGCUAGUGAUUAUGUUGUAUGUGCUGUUCUAGGGCAAAUAGUUGAUAAGAAAUUAAAUGUUAUCCAGUAUGCUAGUAAAACUUUUGAUACUGCCCAGAGAAAUUAUGCUACUACUGAAAAGGAGUUUUUAGUAGUCGUAUUUCCAUGUGAUAAGUUCAGACCUUACAUUGUUGAUUCUAAAGUUACUAUUGACACUGAUCGUGCUGCUAUUAAAUACCUUAUGGAAAGAAAGAUGCUAAGCCUAGACUUAUUAGAUGGGUUCUCUUACUCCAAGAAUUUGAUUUGCAUAUUAUUGAUAAAAAGGGAGCUGAGAACCCCGUUGCAAACAACUUGUCCAGGUUAGAGAAUGUUCUUGAUGACCCACUACCUAUUGAUGAUAGCUUUCCCGAUGAACAAUUAGAGGUCAUUAAUGCUUCUCAUGCUGCUCCAUGGUAUGCUGAUUAUGCUAAUUACAUUGUUGCUAAAUUUAUACCACCUAGUUUCACAUACCAGCAAAAGAAAAUGUUCUUUUAUGAUUUAAGACAUUACUUUUGGGAUGACCCACACCUUUAUAAAGAAGGAUUAGAUGGUGUUAUUAGACUUUGUGUACCUGAGCAUGAACAGGAACAGAUCCUACGCAAGUGUCACUCCGAACCAUAUGGAGGACACCACGCUAGAGAUAGAACUGCACAUAAGGUAUUGUAAUCCGGUUUUUAUUGGCCUACUCUCUUGAAAGAUGCCCGUAAGUUUGUCUUGUCUGGUGAUGAAUGCCAAAGAAUUGGUAAUAUUAGUAGACGUCAAGAAAUUCCUAUGAAUUAUUCUCUUGUUAUUGAACCAUUUGAUGUUUGGGGCUUUGAUUAUAUGGGACCUUUUCCUGCCUCUAAUGGAUAUACACAUAUUUUAGUUGCUGUUGAUUACAUUACUAAGUGGGUAGAAGCUAUUCCAACUAGUAGUGCUGAUCAUAACACUUCUAUUAAGAUGCUUAAAGAAGUUAUUUUUCUGAGGUUUGGAGUCCCUAGAUAUCUCAUGACUGAUGGUGGUUCGCAUUUUAUUCAUGGUUUUUUUCAUAAAAUGAUUGCUAAGUAUGAUGUUAAUCAUAGAAUUGCAUCUCCUUAUCACCCACAAUCUAGUGGUCAAGUAGAGUUGAGUAAUAGAGAGCUCAAAUUAAUUUUGCAAAAGACUGUCAAUAGAUCUAGAAAGAAUUGGUCCAAGAAACUUGAUGAUGCAUUAUGGGCCUAUAAAACUGCAUAUAAAAAUCCUAUGGGUAUGUCUCCGUAUAAGAUGGUUUAUGGAAAAGCAUGUCACUUACCUCUCGAACUCGAACAUAAAGCAUAUUGGGCUAUUAAAGAGCUCAACUAUGACUUCAAACUUGCUGGUGAGAAGAGGUUAUUUGAUAUUAGCUCAAUUGAUGAAUGGAGAACACAAGCCAAUGAGAAUGCCAAGCUGUUCAAAGAAAAAGUUAAAAGAUGGCAUGACAAAAGAAUACAAAAGCGUGAGUUUAAAGUAGGUGAUUAUGUGUUGCUAUUCACCACCGUUUAAGAUUUUUUUACAGGAAAACUUCUCUCUAAGUGGGAAGGUCCUUACGCGGUGCCAUAAAAAUCAACAACUUCGAAGGCACAAGUCUGAGGGUGGUGGACGGUCAAAGAAUUAAACAUUAUAUCUCAGGCAAUCCUAUCAAUGUUGAAACUAAUAUUAUUGAGACCAUAACCCCGGAGGAAUACAUAAGGGACACUUUCCAGAACAUUUCAGACUCCGAAAAGGAAUAGGUAUCUGGUACGGUAAGUAAACCGACUCCAAAACAAUUCUAAUGGCAUUUUUUCUCCGUUUUGGAGUAUUUAAGAAUUUUGGGAAGCAAGAAGUAAUCCGGGAAGGACACGAGGCCUCCACGAGGGUGGAGGGUGCGCCCACCCUUACUGUGCAUGCCCCCCUGUCUCGUGGCACCUCGUGUGCCUCUUGGACUCCAUUUUCUUGCAUGUUACUUCUUUUGGUCGGUAAAAAAUCAUUAUAUAAUCUCCCGAAGGUUUUGACCACCGUAUCACGCAAAAAUCCUCUAUUUUCAUUUCGAGUUGUUUUUCUGACAGAUCUAGAGCACCAUGACAUCUCCGAGCGCUCCCAAGGACAAGUUUUUCGAGAGAGUUAUCAACCCCUAUCUUGCGGAGGUGCUGCAACACCCUCAAACCAUUAAGAUGUGAGCAGGGGUGCUGCACAUCCGCUAUGUGGAGGGACCAAGGCGUACUGGAAGCGUGGAGACAAAGCUCGAAGCUAUGGAGCAACAAGUUUUCAAGUGCCAAGGGAUGGUGGAGCGUGGACCCAACGCUAACCAGAUAAUGAUUGCGAAGUUCACCAACAACCACAAGCUAGACGCCAAGAACAUUGGGGAUACCAUCUUCAAGCUUCAUGAGAAAAUCGAGCAUCUCCAAGCCCAGAUCUAUGACCUGCAAAACCAAAACUAUGAGUAUGAAUAUAGAUUCAAGAGGAUGAGUUUGGCUGCAGAUUUGAGGAUCCCGGAGGCUCGAUCAUCCUUUUAUGAUGGUGAGCCUAUGCCUUGGAAGAUGGACGACAAGCCUACAUCAUCAACAACUCCUUCGUCACCACCUCCGAGGACAUAAUCACAUGGGUAUGGGCACUCCCCUUGGAAACUGCCAAGCUUGGGGGAGGUUCCCCGGUAUCGUAUCACCAUCACACUCCUAUCUUUAUCGUUUUUCUUAGUUCGAUCCUUUUAGUAAUAUCUAGAUCUAGUAGAUUGAAGUUUUGGUAUGAAUUAGUUUUGAGUUUUGCUUUGUGAUCCCUUCUUUGUAAUCGAGUCCGUGAGCUAUCUAUAAUAAAGAUUAGUGUUGAGUCAAGGGUUUUUGCUAUCCUGCUAUGAUCUUGAGAAAAUAGAAAAAAUAAAAAAGAAUAAAAGAGUUCAUAUUGAUCCUAUGGUAGUAAUGACUUCACAUAUAAAAAGUUUGAGUCAUAAAAGUUGUUGAGAGUUGACAAAUAUAGUUUUGGUCAUUGUUGCAAUUAAUAGGAAGUAAUAAAGAAAUAGAGGUUCUCACAUAUAAAUAUACUAUCUUGGAGAUGUUUUAUGAUUGUGAGCACUCAUUAAGUAUGACAUGCUAAAGAGUUGAUGUUGGACAAGGAAGACAACGUAAUGGGUUAUGUUUUCUCACAUCUCAGUUAAAGUAUAUUGUCAUGGAUCUUUCAAACAUGUUGAGCUUGUCUUUCCCCCUCAUGCUAGCCAAAAAUUCCUUGCACCAAGUAGAGAUACUACUUAUGCUUACAAAUAUCCUUAAACCCAGUUUUGCCAUGAGAGUCCACCAUACCUACCUAUGGAUUGAGUAAGAUCGUUCAAGUAAGUUUUCAUGUUGCAAGCAAUAAAAAUUGCUCUCUAAAUAUGUAUGACUUAUUAGUGCGGAGAAAAUAAGCUUUAUACGAUCGUGUGAUAUGGAAGUAAUAGAAGCGAUGGACUGCAUUAUAAAGGUUCAUAUCACAAGUGGCAAUAUAAAGUGACGUUCUUUUGCAUUAAGAUUUUGUGCAUCCAACCCUAAAAGCACAUGACAACCUCUGCUUCCCUCUGCGAAGGGCCUAUCUUUUACUUUAUGUCUUUUACAUUAUGCAAGAGUCAAGGUGAUCUUCACCUUUCCCUUUUUCAUUUUAUCCUUUGGCAAGCACCUCGUGUUGGAAAGAUCCUGAUAUAUAUAUAUAUAUAUAUAUAUAUAUAUAUAUAUAUAUAUCCAAUUGGAUGUAAGUUAGCAUGAACUAUUAUUGUUGACAUCACCCAAAGGUGAAUACGUUGGGAGGAAACACAAUAAGCCCCUAUCUUUCUCAAUGUCCGAUUAAAACUUCAUAACCAUAAGUAUUGCGUGAGUGUUAGCAAUUGUAGAAGACUAUAUGAUAGUUGAGUAUGUGGACUUGCUGAAAAGCUCUAUUCUUGACUCUUUCUAAUGUUAUGAUAAAUUGCAAUUGCUUCAAUGACUGAGAUUAUAGUUUGUUAGUUCUCAAUGAAGUUUAUGAUCCAUACUUGACAUUGUGAAUAGAUUGUUACGUGACCAUAAGAAAUCAUAUGAUAAAAUCUAUAUAUGUUGUUGUUAUAAGAAUGAUCAUGAUGCCCUCAUGUCCGUAUUUUAUUUUUAUCGACACCUUUAUCUCUAAACAUGUGGACAUAAUUUUCGAUUUUGGCUUCCGCUUGAGGACAAGCGAGGUCUAAGCUUGGGGGAGUUGAUACGUCCAUUUUUCAUCAUGCUUUUAUAUCAAUAUUUAUUGCAUUAUGGGCUGUUAUUACACGUUAUGUCACAAUACUUAUGGCUAUUCUCUCUUAUUUUACAAGGUUUAUCAUGAAGAGGGAGAAUGCCGACAGCUGGAAUUCUGGCUAGAAAAGGAGCAAAUAUUGGAAACCUAUUUUGCACAGCUCCAAAAAUCCUGAAACUCCACGGAAGUCAUUUUUGGAAUUAAUAAGAAUUUUUGAGCAAAGAAAAUACCAGAGGGGGCCCACACCCUAGCCAGGAGGGUGGGGGCACGCCCCCUACUAGGCGUGCCCCUAUCUCCUGGGCCCCCUGGUGGCCCUCCGGUGCCCAUCUACUGCUAUAUGAAGGGUUUUACCCUGGAAAAAAUCAGAAGCAAGCUUACGGGACGAAACUCCGCCGCCACGAGGCGGAACCUUGGCGGAACCAAUCUAGGGCUCCGGCGGAGCUGUUCUACCGGGGAAACUUCCCUCUGGGAGGGGGAAAUCAUCACCAUCGUCAUCGGCAACGAUCCUCUCAUCGGGAGGGGGUCAAUCUCCAUCAACAUCUUCACCAGCACCAUCUCCUCUCAAAACCCUAGUUCAUCUCUUGUACCCAUUCUUGUAUCAAAACCACAAAUUGGUACCUGUGGGUUGCUAGUAGUGUUGAUUACUCCUUGUAGUUGAUGCUAAUUGGUUUACUUGGUGGAACAUCAUAUGUUCAGAUCCUUAAUGCAUAUUAAUACUCCUCUGAUCAUGAACAUGAAUAUGCUUUGUGAGUAGUUACAUUUGUUCCUGAGGACAUGGGUGAAGUCUUGCUAUUAGUAGUCAUGUGAAUUUGGUAUUCGUUCGAUAUUUUGAUGAGAUGUAUGUUGUCUCUCCUCUAGUGGUGUUAUGUGAAUGUCGACUACAUGACACUUCACCAUUAUUUGGGCCUAGAGGAAGGCAUUGGGAAGUAAUAAGUAGAUGAUGGGUUGCUAGAAUGACAGAAGCUUAAACCCUAGUUUAUGCAUUGCUUCAUAAGGGGCUGAUUUGGAUCCACUAGUUUCAUGCUAUGGUUAGGUCUACCUUAAUACUUCUUUUGUAGUUGCGGAUGCUUGCAAUAGGGGUUAAUCAUAAGUGGGAUGCUUGUCCAAGAAAGGGCAGUACCCAAGCACCGGUCCACCCACAUAUCAAAUUAUCAAAGUAUCGAACGCGAAUCAGAUGAUCGUGAUGAAAACUAGCUUGACGAUAAUUUCCAUGUGUCCUCAGGAGCACUUUUCUCAUUAUAAGAAAUUGUCCAGGCUUGUCCUUUGCUACAAAAAGGAUAGGGCCACCUUCCUGCACUUUAUUUACUUUCAUUGCUUGUUACCCGUUAUAAAUUAUCUUAUCACAAAACUAUCUGUUACCUACAAUUUCAGUGCUUGCAGAGAAUACCUUACUGAAAACCGCUUAUCUUUUCCUUCUGCUCCUCGUUGGGUUCGACACUCUUACUUAUUGAAAGGACUAUGAUAGAUCCCAUAUACUUGUGGGUCAUCAGGCAACAACGUUAGCCACAACUCGGUAUUCAGCCUCCGCGCUGGAGCGUGAAACUGUGGGUUGUCGCUUGGACGACCAUGAGACGAGUGAAGGACCGAGGUAAACGUAGUAGCCAGAGGUGGACCGACGGGUGUCAGGGCAGCCAACCCAGUCCGCGUAAGAGUAGGCCACCAUCUCCAGAGAAGAGGACGCCGUGAGGGUGAGCCCAAGAGUCAUCGUGCCGCGAAUGUAACGGAGGAUCAGCUUCACGAGAGUCCAAUGGGAGUCACAAGGGGCGUGCAUGUAGAGGACACACCUGCUGAACAGCAUAUUGUAGAUCCGGUCGGGUGAGAUUCAGAUACUGGAGAGCACCGAUAAUGGACCGGUAGAAGGGAGCAUCCGACGCUGGCGAGCCCUCAGGAACAGAAACCUUGGCCUUCGUGUCAACAGGAGUAGCAACAGGGUGACAGUUGAGCAUGCCAGCACGCUCAAGGAGCUCGUGCGCAUACUUAUGCUGAUGAAGGAAGAAGCCAUCCGGUCGCCGGACAACCUCAAUGCCAAGGAAAUAAUGUAGAGCACCCAAGUCCUUGAUGGCGAACUCGUCACGCAGCCGGAGAGUAAUUUGCUGAAGAAGAGUUGCGGAGGAGGCUGUCAGGAUGAUGUCGUCGACAUAGAGGAGCAAAUAUGCAGUCGUGUCACCAUGGUGAUAGACAAACAGUGAGGCAUCCGAGCGAGUGAUGCUGAAGCCCAGUGUCUGAAGAAACACGGCGAUCUGCUGGCACCAGGCGUGAGGUGCUUGCUUGAGCCCGUAGAGAGACCGGGACAGCAAACACACAUGACCAGGAAGAGAUGCGUCGACGAAACCGGUGGGCUGCUCACAAUAAACCUGCUCCUCAACAUGGCCGUGGAGAAAGGCGUUGGAGACAUCCAUCUGAUGAAUUGGCCAGCCUCGGGACACCGCAAGCUGGAGUACAUUGCGGAUCAUACCCGGAUUGACAACCGGCGCAAACAUCUCAGUGAAGUCAACUCCAGCGCGCUGUCGAAAACCACGAACCACCCAUCGAGCCUUGUAGCGCUCAAGUGUACUAUCCGAGCGGGUCUUGUGGCGAAAGACCCACUUGCCGCUGAUGACAUUGGCGCGAGGAGGCCUGGGAACCAGUGUCCAAAUGUGGUUUCAUCGGAGUGCGUCAAACUCUUCCUGCAUCGCGACAAGCUAGUGAGGGUCACGAAGAGCUGCACGAGCGGACGCAGGAAGAUGGGACGACUGCGUGGUGGAGGCGGCGAGUAGGUACUCGUCGCUCGAGUACCGCAGGCUCAGAGGGUGAAUGCCAGCUCGGGCCCGUGUGACGGGACGAGACGGCAGCGCCGGAAUGUCCGGCGAGGUGGCCGACGAGACGACCGGUGACGCGGCCGAUGAGGCUACCAGCGACACGGCCGGGGAGGCGGCAGCCGAGCCUGUGGCGCCCGAGGCAGCCGAGCCCGCGGCGCCCGAGGUGGGGGUGGCGGGUGAAGAGGGGGCAUCGGCUGAGGCGUCGAGGCCGACCGAGACAUCGGGGCCGGCAGAGGGGGUGGGGUCGCCCGAGGUGGCCGAAGAGGCAGGCGCUGACGUGGGGGCGCGAGGCGCAGCUCGCCCCAUAGCGCGAGGACCACCAAAGCCCAAUGGCGGUCUGAGAGCCGAGCGGGGCCGUCCACCUGACGGAGUCGCCGAAGGGCCGCUGGUUGCCGGUGGCGAUGGGGCGACAAGGGGUACCUGCUGCUGAAAUGGAAACACCUUCUCAUCAAAGUAAACGUGUCGGGAGGUGAAAACACGAUGAGAGACGGGAUCAUAGCAGCGGUAGCCCUUAGUGUUAGGUGGGUAGCCGAGAAAGAUGCAGGCGAAAGAGCGGGGUGCAAGCUUAUGAGGCGCAUUGGCGGCGAUGCUAGGGUAGAAGAGACAGCCGAAUAUGCGAAGCUCGUCAUAAGAGGGCGGUGCCCCGAAGAGGAGGUGAUGAGGUGCAAAGUUUCCGUGAGUGCGACAUGGAUGGAUGUUAAUGAGGAGGGUAGCGGUGGCGAGAGCGUUAGGCCAAAAACACGGAGGCACAUUGGCGUGAAAGAGGAGAGUCCGAACGCAGUCAUUAAGAGUGCGAAGGACACGCUUAGCGCGACCGUUUUGCUGCGAAGUGUACGGGCAGGUGAGACGAAAAGUCAUGCCAUGUGUGGUGAGGAGAGUACGAACAGCUAGAUUGUCGAACUCCUUCCUGUUAUCAGUCUGGAACACAAGAAUGGGGCGACCAAAAUGCGUGAGAACAUAAGAGUAGAAAGCGACGAGAGUGGAUAUAACAUCCGACUUGCGACGCAACGGGAAGGUCCACACAUGAUGCGAAAAAUCAUCAAGUAUGACAAGAUAAUAAAGAUAGCUUGUAUUGCUAGCAACAGGAGAGGUACAAACAUCACUAUGAAUUAACUCAAACGGGUACGAUGCAACAUGAGAAGAAGCCCUAAAGGGGAGACGAGCAUGUCUGCCGAGGCGACAUGCAUGAAACGAGUGAUCCUCGUUCUUAUUACACAUGAAUGAAAAACUCCGAAGUAUAUGACGAAGGGUGGGGAGGUUUGGAUGACCCAAGCGAGCGUGUCAAAGAUCCACUCCGGUGGCAAGAGCGACAGGGGCGGCGGAGCUGGUGGAGGUGGCGGAGUGAACCGGGUAGAGCUCGUCAGGUCUGUCACAUCAGUGGAGUACCAUCCGGGUGCGAGCGUCCUUAACAAAAAAAACCACACUCGUCAAAUUCAAUGGUAACAGGAUUUUCGUGUAAGAGAACGAACAGAAACAAGAUUUUUAAUAAGAUCAGGAGAAACUAAGACGUUAGACAAUGAUAUUGGAGUACAAUUAGACGGAAAAUAUGUAUGUCCUAUGUGAGUGAUGGGAAGGGAGGAACCGUCACCGACGGUGAUGUGAGGGGAAGUGUGAACGGGAUAGGAGGUGUGGAGGUUACGGAGAUAAGCGGCCAUAUGUGCGGUAGCUCCAGUGUCCAUAUACCAGUCGCCCCCGCCGGUGUAGGUGGACGGUGAGGGGGGCGGUGUGAAGGGCCGUCAAAAGAGCCGGGUCCCACGGCGCCGGCGGGAGAGCAUGCGGCUGCGGCGGGGCCGUCAAGGGCAGCAGCGGCAGCCCGGCUGGCUGCGGCUGCUAGCGGUAGGAGAGGGGCCCGCAGGGUGCUGCGUAAGGCUACGGCGUGGCGUAGUACGCCUGGUAAGACGGUGGCCGGGCGCCGAGAAUACCCGGGGCAGGGGCACGCGGAACCGGCAUGGAGUAGGCGUGCACGACACUAGUCCAUGGGUUCUGGCCGGCGUACCAUGGAGCCAGCGAGUACUGCUACUGCGGAGGGCGGGUUGCUCCUCCCUGAGCGCCCGCGCCCCCCUGCUGCUUCUUGCGGUCUCCGUGGCGGCCGCCGCGACGCCCCCCCCCCCAUUGGCAGCCGGCUGGGGCUGCGGGAAGGGGGCGACCGACCGGGGCGGGCGGGAAACCGGGCGGGAAGGCGGGCGCCGGCGGCUGGGCCGGUGCGGGGCGCGGCGGUGUGGGGACUGGCCCCCGCGGGUGCUGGCGACGAGGAUGGUGUGGGUCGCUCGAGUCCGCGCCAUCGUCAUCCGACGCUCUCCAGUUUGAGGUACGCCACCACCUUAGCGAAGGUAGGCUCCGGGAUGAGGAUGAGGUUGGAGGCGGCGUUCCCGAAGUCAUCGUUGAGGUCGGCGGUGAGGGUGCUGAUGAGGAGCUCGUCGCCAACCGUCUCUCCGAGAUUGCAGAGCUCAUCGGUGAGCAUUUUGAGGCGCAUGCAGAAAUCGUCGAUGGACGAGUCAAGCUGCUGGCACCCGUAAAACUCGCCGUGAGGAAGGACCUUGCGCUACAGUUUGUUGUCGGUGAAGAGGCCGUUGAGCUUGGUCCAGACGGCGUAGGCGUCGUCAUCAUCAGCCACCACGGUGUGGAAGAGGUCGUUGGAGAUGGUGAGAUAGAACCAGCAGGUGAUUGUGGCGCCGAUGAUCAUCCACUCCUCGUCAUGAAUCAUGAGGCUCGAGUCCACGGUGCCGUCGACGUGGCCGUGGAGGAGGUACUCGCGAAAUACCAAGGAGAAGUACCGCUUCCAAGCGGAGUAGGUGGCGGUGGACUGAUCGAGCUUCACCGGGACAUGCUCAUGGAUGUUGAAGUCGCGGAUGAGCAUGACAUCAGGACUGGCGAAUGGGUUGCUGCCGGAAGAGACGGAGGAGCUCAUGGUGUGAACGGGCUAGGAAGAGGCAGCGGCGGCGAUUUGGAAAAAGCGGCAGCAGCACGAGCGAUCACGAGAGGUAGUACUAGCGGCGGCGUGUGUAGCAUUUAGGAAAAAACGGCGGUAGCACUAGCGAUCGCGAGAGGCAGCGAUGGUUUGGAUCCUAUUGCUAGAAACAGGAGGUGGGCUAUAUUGCUAGAAACAGGAUCGUAUUGCUAGCGUGGGAUUGCAGCGAUGGUUUGGAUCGUAUUGCUAGCGUGGGAUUGCAGCGAUGGUUUGGAUCGUAUUGCUAGCGACAGCACUAGCGACGCGAGAGGAACUGCGGCGGCGGCAGCGGCCAGAAGGCGCGGCGGCGGCGGCCAGAAGCGGAAGACCAGGUUUAGGAUCGGAAGACGAAAACUGAUACCAUGUGGAAGGGCUGUGCAAUCGCAAUACUUUAAUCGAUGCACUAGGCACGUAUAUAUGAGUUACAGAGGGGGCCACAACCUCGACUAUACAGAGGAAACAGAAGAUGAGUCCAAUACACGAUAUAUACGUACACAAUAUACUCAACAGUACAAAAGCAAGCGCUGCAAACUAGGGAAUGCAAGAGUGCAAUCACAUAUGUUGUGCAGGUUCCCAAGACCACUUAGUCCAAGUAGUCUGAGCCGGGGAAAUGAAUCCAUAAUGGAGGACAUGGUUCCUCCUCCUUCAACAUCGGAUGGAAUCAACUCCAACAUUGAAUCACCUCCUCUUUAUAUGGUCAUGACGGGCAAGUCUCUUUCUUCGAGUAUGUCCUCUCCAUCUAUCGCCCUAAGAGCAUCGUUAUUUUACCGCGGGGGUUGAGUUCCCAUGGGUAAUUUCAGAUUGGCACUUCAACAAACUUGAUGGGCUCAAAUUGUGAAUCUGAGAGAGUUGGAAUGGAAGGGGUGCUGCCUCAUGCUUGGUUUCCGAAACCACAUCUGCUACUAAUCCCUUGCUGCAACAUCAUCAGGAUAAUCUCAUGGGUCAAACAUCUCCCAUGCCUAGAAGAGGUUUACUGAUAAAGACAUUUCAUUCAAUCGAUAUAUCUAGUUGAUACAACCGCGCUGAGAAAAUGCCCGGCCUCUGCAUAGCAUGAUGCACACAGCCAAAACAUCCAACAGGACCAAAAAAAAAUAUUGUUUUACAAUAAUAGUACGAAAGGUCGACUUAGAAGAGGUAUAUUUGGUUGAAUUUGAUUGCAGUAGUUGGCUCACAGACCUUUGACAUCUCCACCCGCGGCUCCUAACAUGCCCCUACUGAAAUGGGGGCUUUCCAAAUCAAUAUGCACAGUACGAUUUGGUAAUCUCAACUUUCUGAAGUUCUAAUUUGUAUUCAGGACCAUGUUAUUGAAGAACGUAUUUCCAACCCUGUUUCUCGUGAAAACACUAAUUUCCCUAGCCAACAAAUUAAUCUUCCAGUUCCAAAAAAAUUAAAAUAUGUUUAGUAUUUUCUUAUGGAAAACUUUGCAGUCUGUCAGACAAAGACAUCCAUUGAUCCAAGCUCUUGGUAAAAAUUAUGGGGGUCAUGAAAUCCAUUUCCCAUUUAUCAUGUACUCAAACAUAACUUGUCAAUUUCCUUAUUUUCUAAUCCCAUCGGAUUAAUGCGGACAUGUUAGUUUUUUCUGUUUUUUGCGGUGGAAUGCGGUCUGGCAUGUCCUCUUUGAAUCUUACAAGCAUGGCUAAUAGAAAGAACAAUGAGUUCAUGGCCAUUUUCCUUUUAUUAUUUGCAUCCAAAUAAAGAACACAUGAUGCAAGUGCCACAUCAUUCCUUUUUUUUAUUCACUUAUUUCUCCACAUUAUCAGACAACCCUUACAAUGAAUUUCUAGGUACUGCCCGGAGGUGGGGGUGCAGGUAGCGUUAUAACAGGAACUGUGUAACCUGCACAAGAGAUUUUCAAUUCUCACAUCAUAAGGAUAAUCAUGAGCAAUUAUAUAAGAAAUAAUGGCAAGUA
This 78302-nucleotide long non-coding RNA is filed under the name Triticum aestivum (bread wheat). RNAcentral describes it as "long non-coding RNA (TAES_LNC016811)". Lineage: Eukaryota; Viridiplantae; Streptophyta; Magnoliopsida; Poales; Poaceae. The record is from RNAcentral.